UCCCCUCCUCCAGAUCCGCCCGCUGCUGACCAUGCUACUGCGAUGGCUGUCAUCGCCUCUGCUCGUCCGCGUGGACACCGUCCUCGAGUCGCCUCCGCAGCAUGCCCAUGAGGUUUUAAAUCGUCCGCCUCAUCGUCUUCACCAACUGGAUCCAGCAGGGAGCCACCACAACUUCGACAUCGACCUCGUCUUCAUCUUCGGCCACCAGAGCUCUGCCGCGUCAAUCCACUGCACUGCCUCUCCUAAGCUUUCGCCGGGCCGCCGUAUGCCUUCGCGGUGAGCUCAUCAUCCGAUUCCCCUCUUUCUUCCUUUGUUUUAGUCGUCGUAGCCCGUCGUUCCACCGCCAUGGCCGGAGCUCGCGAACGCCAUAUGCGCCCAGCCGCCGUUGGCUGCGCCCUAGGCCAUGCACGCACGCGCGCCCGUUCUCCACGCCCGCGCCCUCUGACUCCCGUCGCUCCUUUCCCUGCCAGCCCCGGCCGCGCUCCUUGCCCGUUGCUGCCAUUCCUCUGUUGUUCUCUCGCUGCUGCUCUUGCAUACUGCUGCUUCUCUGCCUACUGUGCUGCUGCGUGCUGCUCUAAGCUGCCACUGCUUCUGCAUGACGUGCUGCCGCUGCUACUAAUUACUACUGCCGCUGCCGUGCGCUGCUUGCUGCUGCUGGUGGCCAUGGCCAUGGCCAUGGCUAGCAUGUGUGUGCGCGUGCUGUGUGUGUUGAGUGCGUACGUGUUGUGUGUGCGUGCUCUGUGUGUGUGCAGCAUGUGUGUGCGCGUUGUGCAUGCGUGCAGUGUGUGCGUACAGUGCGUAUGUGCGCUGAGUGUGUGGCCGCGCCCACCACCGGCCUCGCCCGCCUUCGGCUGGCCUUGCCGUGCCGCUGCUGCCACUCCCUCUUGCUGCUCUUCCGGCUGCACUGGGCUGCUGCUCCGCUGCUACAGUAAUGUUCAGUUACUGUAGCAGUAGCCAGCUUUGCAACUUUAACACUAACGAGCCCUCUUGACAGCCCCUAAACAACAACUAAACAAAAGUUAAUAUGAGUAAAAUUCAUAUGGGCCUGUAGUACACUUGACAGGGUUCAAUACAAAAGUCACCUAGAUUAAUUCCUAUGAAAAUGACAAAAGUCUAUGUUCAGUUAACAGAAAAGGCUGAAAAUAGAGUUAUUGUGUUAGCUACUUUAGAGCAGAAAAUAAACAGGAUACAGGGUUCUAACAGAGAUGCAAUUGACACCAUCCUGUAGAUCACAGAAAAUUGGUCAAGAUUGGUAUUAGGUACCAAUUCAUAAGAUGGGCAGAACACUAGUUAUAGCCUCUGGAAAACAGCCAAGUGAGGUUUAAAGACUGAACUAUUCUCAGACUUAGCCAAUUUUCAGGAUUUCCAAAUAAUUAUUUAAAUCUUCGAAAAUUCAUAGAAAAUAAACUAUAGCUCGGAUCGAAAAACUUUCUACAUGAAAGUUGAUCAGAAAAACAAGACGAAUCUGACCGUGCCAUCUGUUUCCUUGUCAGGACCCUCUAUGGAGGCGAACCCGCAACUUUUUGCCCGUUUCCGGUAGAUGAAUAGUGCAUACGUUAGCAUAGCAUGCUUUGUGUUGCAUAUAUUAGCUGUGUAUUUAUUUGUUUCCUUCCCAUCUUCUCUCUCGGUAGAUCUCGGUAGUGACACAGUCCCCGAGACCGACGCAGCUCCGGAGAUUGAUGACACCAUUGAUGACCCUGCCUUUGCCGCAGAGCAACCAGGCAAGCCCCCUCCCUUUGAUCAUCCCGAUAUCGUCGAUUCCAUUCUAUCAUGCUUGAAUUAGAUUUUGCUAUUGUUAUUGUUUGCUCCUAUUCUGAUGCAUAGCUUGCUUAUUGUUACCUUACCUACUUUCCUAAACUGCUUAGUACAGGUUGGUUAGUGAUCCAUCAGUGACCCCCCACCUUGUCCUUGUUCCCCUACUUCAUCAUUGAAGACCCGAUCAACGGGAUUGAAGACCAGGCCCCAACACCGCACAUCACUUUCCCCUUAGUUGCUCGACACUACUGGGUUACUAUCGAGUGCCGAGGGUGAGACUUCUACAGCACUUCUGAUGUUAACCCUGUAGUGUAGCUAUUCGGUCGUGGUCAUCGAGGGUGAUUUCCUAUUUAACCACUUCCGAAACGACUCUGUCAUGCAACCCCUCAAGUGUGGACCUCGAGGGUGGUCCCUCUUUCAUUCACCUUGAUGAUUACAUCGAGUGGAAUUCACCGGGGGUGAUUCCUCGGGUUUUCCCCUUGAUGUUUGGACACACGGAUACUUGGACUUUACAACUGUUACUUGAAAAGGCGGGUCGACCCUGAGGGGUACCCGCGAGUGAUGUGGAGACGAGUUGACCUGGAGUGUGCCCGAGAGUUGAAUACGAGGCAUGGCCGGGCAUUCUUACCCCCUGCCGCAAGUCCUCGAGACGGGGCGACGGGGUCACAUCUUUCGUGAGUCUCUGCUCGUGACCGCACUACCAACACACUAACGGUUUGGAUAUUUGAUCCAAGGGGCCUCUGGCCUGAUAGCACUAACCAUCAUGUGGGCAUAGUAUGGGCGUUCUGCGUCGUAUACAUCAGCCGAAGCUUAAUAGGAUUCAGCGACUGAGCGGCGCACGCCGGGUUGGACUGGUAAGCACCUGCCUUUUUUAAGGAGGUAGCUAGGUCUGCUCACCAGCCACCCACGCAACAUGCAGGAGUUCCCGGGGAGAUGGCCCAUGACCCCUGGGGCAUAGAUUUAGCCCGGCGUGCUGACCUCUCUGUUAAGUCUAGGUCGGGUUGCGGCAUAUUGUUUGGCCGAGGCCGGGCAUGACCCAGGAAAGUGUGUCCGGCCGGAGUUAAUCGAGCAUGGUGGGUAAGUUGGUGCUCCCCUGCAGGGAAGAAAACAUCUAUCGAUAGCCUGUCCUACGGUAACGGACACUUGGAGUUGUAUCCCGAUCGAUACAACUAGAACUGGAUACUUGAGAUGAGACUUGGAUAUGAGAUGAUAACUGGAUAGUAUGGCUCUGGGAUUGCUUUCUCGCAGGGAGUCGAGAAAGGAUCUCUAGCCGAGGUAGACAACACUACUACUACUUUACUUUAUGCUACUCUACUCCCUCCUAUUGCUGCAAGAUGGUGGUUUCCAUAAGAUGCUAGUCUUCGAUAGGACUAGGCCUUCUCUCUCUUCUAGCAUUUCUGCAGCCCAUUCCACAUAUACAACCUUCCUUUGAUAAUGUUGCAUAUGUAGUGUAGAUCCUUGCUUGCGAGUACUUUGGAUGAGUACUCACGGUUGCUUUGCUCCCCCUUUUCCCCCUUUCUUUUUCUUUCCGGUUGAUGCAACCAGAUGUCGGAGACCAGGAGCCAGAUGCCACUACCGAUGCCUACUACUACGUGGAGACCAUUGACGACCAGGAGUAGUUAGGAGGCUCCCAGGAAGUAGGCCUUGCCUUUUCGAUCGUAGAUGCUUUUGUGCUAGCCUUCUUAAGGCAAACUUGUCUAACUUAUGUCUGUACUCAGAUAUUGUUGCUUCUGCUGACUCGUUGUAUUCGAGCUUAUGUAUUCGAGUCCUCGAGGCCCCUGGCUUGUAAUAUAAAGCUUGUAUUAUUUGAAUUUGUGUCUAGAGUUGUGUUUUGAUAUCUUACAGUGAGUCCCUGAUCUUGAUCGUACACAUUUGCGUGUAUGAUUAGUGUACGAUUGAAUCAGGGGCGUCACAAGUUGGUAUCAGAGCCGACUGCUUGUAGGUAGCCCCCUUUCCAACUCCUUGGCCGAAGUUGAGUCUAGUCACUGAAAAACUUUUACUAACAUUGGUUGUGUGUCUUACGGGCCCACGUUGCCAUUGGGUGGUAUUAUGAUCUUUUACUCCUCGUCUAUACUCUGGGAUUCUGAUCUAUCUUCUAUUCGGGUUAAACAUUUUACUAACUCUGACAUUGGGUUAUCGUAACCACUUCCUCCCGGAGAGCCCCUACAUUACCGAUGAUCGCUUGCUUCACCAGAUGAUUCUGCGGAUACUCCUCGAUGUUUCCCGAGACCCUGUUCCCACUGCUUUGCAGUCCUAACCACCGAUAAGUCCCCAUGGAUACCAUCCUUGCCAUUUGUACCUUCAUCCCCAGUUGCUCUUGUUGUUACAAGUUACCCCUAACACUCUCCGUUGUUCCGAGAAUCCUUUGUGUCUUAUGCUUUGCAGCUUCUUUUCGCACUAUGGAUAACUCACUUACCCGGGGUCCGUUCCUCCCCAGUUGUUCACAUGCUUUCCAAAAUACUUUGAAAUGCUAUCUGAUCUCCCCAAAAUCCUCCGUGGCCUUUUACUUUUGAUUCCCCUCGCCUGCUUGUAUUAUGGUUAAUUCCAUAUGUCUAGCGAUAUUUAUUAAAAUCCUUUGUGAUUGUCACUCUGUUCCUACGGAUUCAACGUAUGUGCGACUACUCACAAUCAUCAAUUCAUCCAUAGGAAUUUACUUUCCGGCUCAGACAUCAUUCCGGAUAUGAGCUGGUUCUUGCCCAAUCAAGAUUCGAUUGGUGUGCCUCUAAGUCUGUUCAACCUAUCCAUCUUCGAUCGGAGCAUCUGAUCUGAUACACCGAUCUAGAAAUCCAAUUUCUUUGUAUUUAAGCAUCGAAUUAUUCAGAUGUUUCCAUAAACCAAUGCCCUUGCAUUUCUUCUUCUUCUGGUUGGAUGCUAAUACUCACAUCAACUCCGUCGUGAAUCGCCAGAUCCAUUGUUGGAUUGUAUCCGACAGUGUCCAUCGCAUUCAAAAACCUCGAGAGUUCUUCCCCUUAUACAUGAUGCCUUUGGCAAAUUGUAUCCUCUCCUUACAUUCGAGUUUGUGUUAUUUACUCCUAAACACUGCGGUGUAGGUUCCUAAGAUGUCCCAAUGGGUUGAACCUAUGCUUUUCCUAAUCCAUGUGAACUCGAAAGUUAUGCGAGUCAUACUCUUCUGGUGCUUCACCAGAUAAAUCUUUAACACUACAACUUCAUCAAAAGCAAGAAGUGAAUGAAAGGUUAUGCAUUGAAGAAGUGGGAGUCGACCUUGAACUUAGUGUUCAUGCCCAUGGACCCGAUGUGGAACUUAUCAUGGAAGCUUCUUAUGAUAAUAAUAAUCCCCUUGUUAUAAGUUCAUCUGGUAUCUAUGUUUGGUCCUUUGCAAUCGUGGUUCUGACCAUGAUUGUUCCCCUUUGAUUCCAUUUCUCGGACUAGUUAAAGUACUUGUCUUCUGCAGAUGACUACACAUGUCCAAACUCUAUUAUGCCCUAUCUUUGAGUAUUACCCUCUAGUAUCUCGAGGAUAUCAUGCAUUGCACUACAUCUAAUGAACUUUUGAUGAAGUACUACCUUACCCUGUCUUAGUCACUUCAUGGGUUCUGGGUUGUCUUCAACCGAGACCACCAAACAAUGAAUCUAUUCUGCUCAGUGAUUCAGCACUCCUAGUACUUUGUUGCUGGGGAGUUGGAUACUCCAUCACAUCAUUCCUAGCCUGAUCGGCUAUAUUUUUAUCGUGUCAACUUUUAACUAUGCUACCUGGUCCUUAUGCCCGGAGCAACUUUCGACGAUGAGCUAAGCUUACAUUGAUCUUUCUCGUCAUAUCAUUUCACCUUGAACAGAAAGUUUGAUUUCGACUUUGUGUCGUACUCAUGGUUCCAAUAGCCUUUCGCUUCGUCCUUCCUGUUACUUGAUGGCAUCUUCAUAGAGCCUCUCGACAAAGGCGUCUUGAUCAGCAUCAACAUUUUGACUUCUGUUGAAAUGGCAAUUGAAUUCAUGGUUAGAAAUACCAUCCUUGACCUUCAAUGAUUUGAGUUAUCAUUGACAACCCCCCUUGUCUUCUUUCCAACACAUGUUUGGUCAUGUAUUGGUUAUACCUUGGACUACUUGUUAUUCCUGCAAUUGUUCUUUGAGUAUUUCUUGUGAUCUUCAACUCCAAUCCCUACUUGGAACACCAUGUUAAUGCUACCUCUAAGCAUGGCUGUGGUAUUCCGAAUAUCAACAAGAACAUUGGAAGCACAUUGUCGAAUGUUUCUUGAUCUAUUAUCCAAACACCGUUGUAUGUGUAAUAUCAUGAUUCUUCCCUCACCCCCUUUAUCUAAAUGCUUUUGAACUUGCUGUCUUAUCAUGGAUAUCAUACUCUGCUUGUCCUUGGGAAGGAUAUAUUCCUGAUAAUAGUGUUUAAACACACUUUCCUUUCCAAUGUUCUGAUUAAUCUAAUGAUCACCUUUUCUUUCCAUUGUUUUGUUUAACCUUUCUUGUGGUUUGUGAGAUCUAAGCAGUAAUAGUUCCCUACUUAUGGAAACACCUCGGUGUACAACUCUGUCAGUAAGACCCUGCUACUAUUGUUGAUGAUGUUCCGAACCACCAACGGACGAGAACUUUGCCUAUUGGUCCACCUCGUCUUACGAGCAGGAAAAUAGUUCUCUUCGUCCCUCGCCCUUGGUACCAACGUUGUUGGCAACAUAACUGACAGUCUAUCAUCUGACAUGCCUUGCUAUGACCCCCCUUUCUACUUUUAACCCACAUGGUGGGCCCAUAACCCACAGGUCCUAGGAUCAGAACCUUACUCUCCUGUAUAUCUUUGAUUCCAAAAUAUUCUUGCAUUUGGAUUCGUAUCAUGUCACGAGCCACCUUUCGAGAGAUGGUCUAUUCCGAUGCUCUGAACCCCUUUGUCACACUUUGGUCAGGUAUCAAUCGUUUGCCCAUUUGUUUGAAACUUCCUAUUGUACCUUCAUACUUUGCUCUCGAUGUUUUAUUAAGUUUCAACUCGAGAGAUACUUCUGCCUCAUUUCCCGAAUUGUUCACCAGAUAAUUAACCCUAUAAGGUUCAGUUCUCCCGAAGUUACUCUUUACUUCCCCACUUAAAUCUCGGGACGAGAUUUCUUGUAGUGGAGGAGAUUUGUAACACCCCAGUGUCAUGUUACAGUAAUCCCCAGUUAAUGGUGCCAUGUCAUCAUGUUACUGUUGCUAAUCUUCAGUUGAUCCAAAUCAUGAUUCAAAUUCAAUUCCAAUCUAAAGUCAAAAAUUCAUAUUUGUCAGAUAUGAAAUCUAAAAUGUUCAUCUUGUGCCAAAUAAUCCCGUAACUAAUAUUGGUAGUGAAACAACAUUUUUACAAAGUGUUUGAGUGCAUUAAACUAGCUAAAAUAGUGCUUAAAACAUUUGUUUAAAUGCUUUUUAAAUAGUAAACAAAUAUAAACAUAUUUUAUUAAAGGGGCAAGUCAUUUGUGGUAGUUAAUUUAAUAAUACUAAUUUAGGGGCUAGUGUUGUAUUUUACAAAAAUAAUGAAAUAAAAAAAUAGGGAAAAUACAAACUUUAGAAAAAAGCCCACAACCACCUGCCCCUGGACGUAGGCCACCCAACCGAACCCCUCCCUUUGUCGUCUACCCCGCUACAGGAAGACGACCGAGACGACCCGAGCCGAGUCCUAGCCGGAUCGCCUCGCCGGCAAACUCCCCCCGGUGGAUAAGAUCGCCACGGCCCUCGCCUCCUCGAUCCCCUCUCCCACUCGGCCCCCACUCAUUUGCUCUCUCUCCCCUCAUCUAACCACCGCUCCCCUCCUCCAGAUCCGCCCGCUGCUGACCAUGCUACUGCGAUGGCCGUCAUCACCUCUGCUCGUGCGCGUGGACACCGUCCUUGAGUCGCCUCCGCAGCGUGUCCAGGAGGUUUUCCAUCGUCUGCCUCAUCGUCUUCACCAACUGGAUCCAGCAGGGAGCCACCACAACAUCGACAUCGACCUCGUCUUCAUCUUCGGCCACCGGAGCUCCGCCGCGUCAAUCCACUGCACUGCCGCUCCUAAGCUAUCGCCGGGCCGCCGUGUGCCUUCGCGGUGAGCUCAUCAUCCGAUUCCCCUAUUUCUUCCUUUGUUUUAGUCGUCGUAGGCCGUUGUUCCAUCGCCAUGGCCGGAGCUCGUGGACGCCAUACGUGCCCAGCCGCCGUUGGCUGCGCCCUGGGCCACACACACACGCGCUCCCGUUCUCCACGCCCACGCCUUCUGACUCCCGUCGCUGCUUUCCCCGCCAGCCCCCUGCCGCGCUCCUUGCCCGUUGCUGCCAUUGCUCUAUUGUUCUCUCGCUGCUGCUCUUGCAUACUGCUGCUUCUCUGCCUACUGUGCUGCUGCGUGCUGCUCUAAGCUGCCACUGCUUCUUCAUGACGUGUUGCCGCUGCUACUAAUUACUACUGCCGCUGCCGUGCGCUGCUUGCUGCUGCUGGUGGCCAUGGCCAUGGCCAUGGCUAGCAUGUGUGUGCGUGUGCUGUGUGUGUUGAGUGCGUACGUGUUGUGUGUGCGUGCUCUCUGUGUGUGUGUGUGCAGCGUGUGUGUGCGCGUUGUGCAUGCGUGUAGUGUGUGCGUACAGUGCGUAUGUGCGCUGAGUGUGUGGCCGCGCCCACCUCCGGCCUCGCCCGCCUUUGGCUGGCCUUGCCGUGCCGCCGCUGCCACCCCCUGUUGCUGCUCUGCCUGCUGCACUGGGCUGCUGCUCCGCUGCUACAGUAACGUUCAGUUACUGUAGCAGUAGCCACCUUUGCAACUUUAACACUAACGAGCCCUCUUGACAGCCCCUAAACAACAACUAAACAAAAGUUAACAUGAGUAAAAUUUAUAUGGGCUUGUAGUACACUUGACAGGGUUCAAUACUUUCCAUUGGACCAAAUCCAAAAGUCACCUAGAUUAAUUCCUAUGAAAAUGACAAAAGUCUAUGUUCAGUUAACAGAAAAGACUGAAAAUAGAGUUAUUAUGUUAGCUACUUUAGAUAAGAAAAUAAACAGGAUACAAGGUUCUAACAGAGAUGUAGGACCUUGAGAAGAGGUGUCUAGAGGGGGGGGGGGUGAUUAGACACUAAGUACCAAAGUUGCAGUUUUUAGCCCUUUUAAAGUUUAAGUGGAGUUUAGGCACAAAUUUAACAUUCACAACACAUAGCAAGCAAGCAUGCAAAGAGUAUAUGAGCAGCGGAAAGCAAAGCAUGCAACUUGCAAGAAAGUAAAGGGAAGGGUUUGGAGGAUUCAAACGCAAUUGGAGACACAGAUAUUUUUGGCGUGGUUCCCAUAGGUGGUGCUAUCGAACAUCCACGUUGAUGGAGACUUCAACCCACGAAGGGUAACGGUUGCGCGAGUCCACGGAGGGCUCCACCCAAGAAGGGUCCACGAAGAAGCAACCUUGUCUAUCCCAUCAUGGCCGUCGCCCACGAAGGACUUGCCUCACUAGCGGUAGAUCUUCACGAAGUAGGCGAUCUCCUUGCCCUUACAAACUCCUUGGUUCAACUCCACAAUCUUGUCGGAGGCUCCCAAGUGACACCUAGCCAAUCUAGGAGACACCACUCUCCAAGAAGUAACAAAUGGUGCGUUGAUGAUGAACUCCUUGCUCUUGUGCUUCAAAUGAUAGUCUCCCCAACACUCAACUCUCUUUCAUAGGAUUUGGAUCUGGUGGAAAGAGGGUUUGAGUGGAAAGCAACUUGGGAAAGGCUAGAGAUCAAGAUUCAUAUGGUAGGAAUGGAAUAUCUUGGCCUCAACACAUGAGUAGGUAGUUCUCUCUCAGAAAUAGGAUGCUGGAAGUGUAGGUUCAGUCUGAUGGCUCUCUCCACGAAUGAAGAGGAGGUGAAGGGGUAUAUAUAGCCUCCACACAAAGUCUAACCGUUACACACAACUUGCCAAACUCGAUGGGACCGAAUUGAGAAACUCGGUCAGACCGAUUUAGCAAAUCUAGUGACCGUUAGGAUUUUUGGUGGGACCGAAAUGCAACUCGGUAGGACCGAUUCGAUUAGGGUUAGGGCAUAACGUAAUCUCGGUGAGACCGAUUUUGGUAAUUAGCUAACCAGAGAGUUGGUCAGGCAAACUCGGUUGGACCGAUUAUCAAACUCGGUGGGACCGAUUUUGGUAAUGAGUCAACCAGGAAGUUUGCAUUGUAAUCUCGGUAGUACCGAUUGCUCAAACUCGGUGAGACCGAUUUGCUUAGGGUUUGUGGCAGUGGCUAAUACAUCCAAACUCGGUGGCGCCGGAUAGGAAGAAUCAGUGGGGCCGAGUUUGACUUUAGGUUUAGGACAUAUGUGUGGAAGUGGGAAAGUAGUUGAGGGAAUUUGGAGCAUAUCACUAAGCACUUGAAGCAAGAGGCUCAUUAAGCAACAGCUCAUCCCUCCUUGAUACUAUUGGCUUUUCCUAUAGACUCAAUGUGAUCUUGGAUCACUAAAAUGUAAAAUGAAGAGUCUUGAGCUUGAAGCUUGAGCCAAUCGUUUGUCCUUAGCAUCUUGAAGGAGUUCCCACAUCCUUUAGUCCAUGCCACUCUAAUGAUGAACUUAUCUGAAAUAUACUAGAUAAAAGUGUUAGUCCAACAAGCGAUAUGUUUACAUUAAUUACCAAAACCACCUAGGGAGCACUUGUGCUUUCAAUCUCCCCCUUUUUGGUAACUGAUGACAACAUACAUCAAAGCUUUAGAUAAAGAUUAAAGAACAACAAGUAAGGCUUUGGAAAGACAUGUAACAAGCAUAGGCUCCCCCUACAUGUAUGCAAUCAUGUGAAUAUGAAAUAUAGAAGCAUGUGAGAGCAUAACCAUGAUAGAGCAGGCAAUGUGUUACAUGUAUCUUGGCCAUAUGCAUCAGAGCAAAAAAUAUAUUAAAGGAAAUACCUUCAUGCCCAUGAGUCCUUCUUGCAAACAGUAUGUACAUCAGCAAGAAUUCCUCAUACACAUGAUUGUGAUGCAUGUACUUACCUCGUAGUCUUGAGUUGGCUUAGAAUGAAAUGAACCUGUGUAAACAAGGUUAGAUAACACAGAUACAUCUACUAGCCAGAGCAAACAGAAGAAACCACAAGAAUACCAAGACUGGGAUGCCAUGUAGAGAGUGAGUACUAAGUACUACAUUGGAAUUGACAUGUCCCCAAGAGUAAAGGUAUGCAAAGAAUUCAGAUGAUUUCUUUCCCUUAGAUGUCUUGCUCCCCCUGAAUCUAGCAUGGGAUACUGGGAGAAGAUAGGGAACAGAAAAUCAGAGCUGAAAGAUAUAAAUGAACAGAGCUAAUGCAAACUAAUGCAAAAAAGGGCACAUAUGAACAUGUCUUUCCCCUCAAGAAGACAUAUGGCAUCUCUCCUCUUGAACACCAAGCAUCUGGGAUCCUUGAGAAAUACUUUCUACUAGUAUUCUCUCCCCCUGGAGAUCUCUCUCUCUCUGAAGGAUCUCUCUCCCCCUAUGAGAUGUAAUCUCUCUCUCUAAAUGAUAAGCUUUGAUGUGAUCUCUCUCCCCCUUUGACAUCAAUUUCCAAGACGGGCUUGAUAAAGAUGUAAUCUGUCUCUCUUCCUUUGGAAUUUGUCGUGAAUGGGUUUGAUCCUUGAGUCACAACAUAAAGUAAUGAUAAAAAUGUGAUGCUUGUUAGAGGACAAGAUUCAUUGAGUGGAGCUGGAUCAGAAGAAACAUAGAAUAAGUGGCAAACUGUUUUUCCUGUGAUGAAGUCGGUGGCACCGAGUUGUAUGCUUUGGUUGUACCAAAAGAAUUCAGUUGGACCGAAAAUAACAAAUCAGUGGAACCGAGUUCAUCGCAGAGAAAACACUUGUCACCUCAGCUCACUAGACUAAUAAGAUCUCACAAAGAUUUGCAAGGAAUUGGAUGCAGAAAAUGCAGAGCAAACAGAAAGAAAUCUAGAUGAAGUUUUUUUUGAAAGGGGAAACGAAUAUGAAUGAGACAAAUGCAAAAACACAGAAUAAAACACAAGGGAACUUCAUCAAGAGAUGGUCGGCGACGAAGUCACCUAUGUUAGAGUAUAUUGACUUAGGAGUCAAGUGAGAUCACUUGAUCAUAGGUCAUACUCAUUGUUUAAGCUCAAAAUGGGGUUGCCAUUUUUCGUUUAAGCAGCUUGAUGUAUUCACAUCUUGUCGAGUUGCUUUAGCUCAUGUCUUGGAGUAAAGCUUCUCUAAGAUGGAAUAACAUACCUUGGUUGGUGGUGAUGAUCAUGUAGUUGAACUCGUGUGGGUCGCUCAAGGUUGAUGUAGCUGAUCAAGAGUUGGGAGCACCACUUGGAAUUUGAGUCCAUCUACCUACAUGGGUUAGUUCUUGCAAAGAAGAGCACUUGUGUAUCCAAAAAUGACAAUCAUGAAGCUCAAUAUAGAAUUUGUCAAAGGAUAUGCUCGAAUGGUUUCGUGCUUCCUUGUCUUCAACCACCUUGUGUAGAGACUUGGUGAUGUAGAGAUUGCUCAAGAUAUGAGUAGGUUACAGCCUCAUGGAAUUAGAUUCAACCAAGUACCUACAUGGGUUAGAUAACAUGCAAGAUACAAAUAUAUCCAAGACAUAAGAUUUUCAUCAUAAGAGAAAUAUCAAGGAUUAGUCAUAAGUUGAUGUCUUGCAUGCAUCCAAUGGAGUUUCUACUCCAAGUUUGAAGCAUCAAUGAUGUUCAAUUCUCCUCUCAACUUGCAAAACACUUUCUCAUCAAGAGGUUUGGUGAAUAUAUCCGCUAAUUGCUUUGCGGUGCGAACAUGCUUAAGAUCAAUGUCACCCUUAGCAACGUGAUCUCAAAUGAAAUGAUGACGAACUUCAAUAUGCUUAGUUCGAGAAUGUUGCACAUGAUUAUGACCAAUUUUGAUAGCACUUUCAUUGUCACAAAGCAAUGGAACAUGUUUCACAUAAAUCCCAUAAUCUUUAAGAGUUUGGGUCAUCCAAAGUAAUUGAGCACAACAUGAACCAGUGGCAAUGUAUUCCGCUUCAGCAGUGGAUAAGGAUACUGAGUUUUGUUUCUUGGAAGACCAAGACACAAGAGAUCUACCAAGAAAUUGACAAGUACCCGAAGUGGACUUUCUAUCAACCUUGUCUCCGGCAUAGUCCGAGUCAGAGUAGCCGACAAGAUCGAAAGAGGCCCUCUUAGGAUACCAAAUGCCAAAAUUUGGUGUAUGUAUUAAGUAUCUCACUAUCCUUUUUAUGGCCUUAAGAUGACACUCUUUAGGAGCAUCUUGAUAUCGUGCACACAUGCACACACUUAGCAUAAUAUCGGGACGUGAAGCACAUAGGUAUAACAAUGAACCAAUCAUAGAGCGAUAAACCUUUUGAUCAACCAGUUCAUCAUCUUUGGUUAAGUCAAGAUGUCCACUAGUAGGCAUGGGUGUAGCCAUUCCUUUGCAUUCUUGCAUAUUGAACUUCUUGAAUAAGUCCUUAGUUUACUUCGUUUGAGAGACAAAAGUACCUUCCUUAGUUUGCUUGAUUUGCAACCCAAGAAAGAAUUUGAGUUCACUCAUCAUUGACAUCUCAAACAUCUCCGACAUUAGCUUCCCAAACUUUUCACUAAAAUGAGGGUUAGUUGAACCAAAUAUAAUAUCAUCAACGUAGAUUUGGCACACAAAUAGUUCACCAUUAACCCUUUUAGUAAAGAGAGUAGAAUCAAUUUUCCCAAUUUCAAAGCCUUUUUCAAUAAGGAACUUGGUCAAGCAUUUAUACCAUGCUCUAGGAGCUUGUUUAAGACCAUAAAGAGCUUUGUGAAGUUUGUAAACAUGAUUUGGUUUCUUAGGAUUGACAAAGCCGGGAGGUUGUUUAACAUAAACUUCCUCCUCUAUUUCACCAUUUAGAAAAGCACUUUUAAUGUCCAUUUGGUACAAGGUGAUAUCAUGGUGAUUAGCAUAGGCAAGUAAGAUGCGAAUGGACUCAAGUCUAGCAACGGGGGCGUAAGUCUCACCAUAGUCCAUACCUUCGACUUGUGUGUAGCCUUGGGCGACGAGACGUGCUUUGUUGCAAACUACUUGUCCAUCUUCAUCUUGCUUGUUGCGAAACACCCAUUUGGUACCGAUGAUGUUGUGGUUGUUGUCGGGCUUCUCAACCAAUGUCCAAACUUGGUUCCUCUCAAAGUUGUGUAGCUCUUCAUGCAUAGUGUUUAUCCAAUCCGGAUCUUCCAAUGCUUCUUCGACCUUCAUAGGUUCAAUGCUAGAGAUGAAAGAAUAGUUUUCACAAAGGUUAGCUAAACGAGUUUUAGAGCGAGUGAUUCUCCCAGUUUGAAUAUCAUUGUAGAUUUGCGCGACGGGAUGGUCUUUAGCAAUUCUUUCUCGAACUCGUGAAAGCUUUUGCUUGGAUCUUCGUUGAACAUCUUCUUCAUCUUGUUCUUCUUCUUGGCCUUCUUCAUUGUUGGCAUUGUCGUUCUCUUGUCGUGGUGGAGAAGGAGGUUGUUGACGUUCAUCUUGACGCACUUCCUCGUUUCCUUCAUCUUGGUGUGUCCCACUUGUGGAUGCUUCCGUAUCAACUCUUGGUUCACCUUGUCGUGAAGUAGAAGCUUCCACUUGGACAGACGAGGUACUCUCCUUCACCUCCAUUGGAUGGACCUUGCCAAUAGACAAGUCUUGGAUUGCUUCCGAAGGAUCUUUGUCUCCUACAUCAAUUGGCAAUUGCUCUACUUGCGAGCCGCUAGAUUCAUCAAACUUCACAUCUACCGUCUCUUCAACCUUUCGGGUGAAAUUGUUGUAGACACGGUAAGUGUCAGAGUUUGAGCCAUAACCUAGUAGGAAACCUUCAUGAGACUUAGGAGCAAAUUUAGAACGAUGAUGCUUAUCAAGAAUGUAGCACUUUGAGCCGAAUACUCGAAAGUAUCCAACUUGGGGUUUGUUACCGGUGAGGAGCUCGUAUGCCGUCUUGCCGAGUAGCUUGUGAAGAUUCAAGCGAUUUGUUGCAUGACAAGCUGUCUCAACCGCUUCUGCCCAAAAGUGCUUCGGCGUCUUGUACUCAUCAAGCAUCGUUCUCGCCAUUUCGAUGAGCGUCCAGUUCUUCCUCUGAACAACUCCAUUUUGUUGAGGUGUGUACGUAGCUGAGAACUCAUGUGAAAUCCCUUCUUCGUCAAGAAAGGUGUCCACAUUUGCGUUCUUGAACUCCGUUCCAUUGUCGCUGCGAACCUUCUUGAUCUUCACUUAAAAUUGAUUUUGGGCCUUCCUAGCGAAGUUUUUGAAGAUCUUUUGAACCUGCAAUUUAUCAUCAAGAAAGAACACCCACGCAAAUCUGGAAAAAUCAUCAACUAUAACUAGACCAAAACAAUUUCCACCGAGACUCUUGUAAGAGUUGGGACCAAAGAGAUCCAUGUGAAGUAGCUCGAGUGGCCGCUUUGUGGUCAUGAUGUUCUUCACGGGAUGCCUUCCUCCAACCUGUUUACCUGCUUGACAAGCACUGCAAAGUCUAUCCUUAUCAAAAAUGACAUCAUUAACUCCAAGGAUAUGAUUUCCCUUAAUAAGCUUGUCAAGGUUUCUCAUGCCAACGUGACCUAGUCGUCUAUGCCAUAACCAACCUUUUGAGGAUUUAACAAUGAAGCAAGUUUUAGGUUGGACCUUUUUAGUGAAAUCAACAAUGUAUAGAUCACCUCUACGUAUGCUGGUAAAGACCAUUUUAUGAUUGUCUCGACGAAACACUUGGCAAUCAACUUAAGUAAAUAGGACAUUGAAACCGAAAUAAGCAAGUCUAGAUACUGAAAGUAAGUUGUAUCCAAGAGAUUCUACGAGCAUGACAUUUUGUAUGGAGCUAUCAUGUGAGAUGGCCACCUUACCGAGGCCAACCACCUUACCCUUUGAGUUGUCACCGAAAGUGACAUACUUUCGAGGACUAUCAUUAUCAGCAAGCUCACGAAACAUGUCUUUAUCUCCGGUCAUGUGAUCGGUACUCCCACUAUCAAGAACCCAUUCCUUUCCUCCUGACAUAUAUCCCAGAAGAUUUGCCAUAAGACCAAAAUGUCUCAUUGCAUCAUCAAGAUCUAAGUCACUAUCCUCAUCCUCAUCAUAGUAUCCAUGUUCAACAUCGUCAUGUGGUGGAUCAAAUCCUAGAGAGGGUGAUUCAUUAGAGUGAGUUUGACAAUGAUCUUGUCUAUGAAUUUUUAUAGCUUCGGAAAUAAUAUCACUAAUAAUACCAACAUUUCCUUUGGCACGCAUAAGAUUUGUAAGCUCAAAUAGACGAUCACCAAACAUAGGAUCACUAGUAUUCAUCUUACUCAAGGCAAUAGACUUAUGAAGAAUUUCAUCAAGAUUUUUCAAAGAAUAAUCAGGAAAUCGUUCCUCAAGAAAUUUCCAUAUAGUGUAGGCACACUCAAGAGUAGGCAGUUUUAUAAUCAAGUUUCUAGGCAAGCCUCUAGUGAUAAGAUUAACAGUUUUAACAUUCCUAAUCAUGUCAAUAGACUCAUCAAGCGUAGGAUGCAUAGGAUCAACACAAGGUGCACAAGGACUAGCAAUGUACUUGUUCAAAUGAUAUUGAUUGAAAACUACAAGCAUCUCAUUUUUCCACUCAUGAAAAUACUCUCCAUCAAGAAUAUGCACUUUAUGUCUAAGAUUCCCCAAAGUAGACUCAUCCAUCUUCCUCCAAUGGUGAUUAAACCAAGGAAAUGGAAACCAAUGCUCUGAUACCACUUGUAGGACCUUGAGAAGAGGUGUCUAGAGGGGGGUGAUUAGACACUAAGUACCAAAGUUGCAGUUUUUAGCCCUUUUAAAGUUUAAGUGGAGUUUAGGCACAAAUUUAAUAUUCACAACACAUAGCAAGCAAGCAUGCAGAGAGUAUAUGAGCAGCGGAAAGUAAAGCAUGCAACUUGCAAGAAAGUAAAGGGAAUGGUUUGGAGGAUUCAAACACAAUUGGAGACACAGAUGUUUUUGGCGUGGUUCCGAUAGGUGGUGCUAUCGUACAUCCACGUUGAUGGAGACUUCAACCCACGAAGGGUAACCAUUGCGCGAGUCCACGGAGGGCUCCACCCAAGAAGGGUCCACGAAGAAGCAACCUUGUCUAUCCCACCAUGGCCGUCGCCCACGAAGGACUUCCUCACUAGCGGUAGAUCUUCACGAAGUAGGCGAUCUCCUUGCCCUUACAAACUCCUUGGUUAAACUCCACAAUCUUGUCGGAGGCUCCCAAGUGACACCUAGCCAAUCUAGGAGACACCACUCUCCAAGAAGUAACAAAUGGUGCGUUGAUGAUGAACUCCUUGCUCUUGUGCUUCAAAUGAUAGUCUCCCCAACACUCAACUCUCUCUCAUAGGAUUUGGAUCUGGUGGAAAGAUGGUUUGAGUGGAAAGCAACUUGGGAAAGGCUAGAGAUCAAGAUUCAUAUGGUAGGAAUGGAAUAUCUUGGCCUCAACACUUGAGUAGGUAGUUCUCUCUUAGAAAUAGGAUGUUGGAAGUGUAGGUUCAGUCUGAUGGCUCUCUCCACGAAUGAAGAGGAGGUGGAGGGGUAUAUAUAGCCUCAACACAAAAUCUAACCGUUACACACAACUUGCCAAACUCGGUGGGACCGAAUUGAGAAACUCGGUCGGACCGAUUUAGCAAAUCUAGUGACCGUUAGGAUUUUCGGUGGGACCGAAAUGCAACUCGGUAGGACCGAUUCGAUUAGGGUUAGGGCAUAACGUAAUCUCGGUGAGACCGAUUACACAAACUCGGUGAGACCGAUUUUGGUAAUUAGCUAACCAGAGAGUUGGUCAGGCAAACUUGGUUGGACCGAUUAUCAAACUCGGUGGGACCGAUUUUGGUAAUGAGUCAACCAGGAAGUUUGCAUUGUAAUCUCGGUAGUACCGAUUGCUCAAACUCGGUGAGACCGAUUUGCUUAGGGUUUGUGCCAGUGGCUAAGACAUCCAAACUCGGUGGCACCGGAUACGAAGAAUCAGUGGGGCCAAGUUUGACUUUAGGUUUAGGACAUAUGUGUGGAAGUGGGAAAGUAGUUGAGGGAAUUUGGAGCAUAUCACUAAGCACUUGAAGCAAGAGGCUCAUUAAGCAACACCUCAUCCCUCCUUGAUAGUAUUGGCUUUUCCUAUAGACUCAAUGUGAUCUUGGAUCACUAAAAUGUAAAAUGAAGAGUCUUGAGCUUGAAGCUUGAGCCAAUCGUUUGUCCUUAGCAUCUUGAAGGAGUUCCCACAUCCUUUAGUCCAUGCCACUCCAAUGUUGAACUUAUCUGAAAUAUACUAGAUAAAAGUGUUAGUCCAACAAGAGAUAUGUUGACAUUAAUUACCAAAACCACCUAGGGAGCACUUGUGCUUUCAAGAGAUGCAAUUAACACCAUCCUGUAGAUCACAGAAAAUUGGUCAAGAUUGGUAUUAGGUACCAAUUCAUAAGAUGGGCAGAACACUAGUUAUAGACUCUAGAAAACAGCCAAGUGAGGUUUAAAGACUGAACUAUUCUCAAACUUAGCCAAUUUUCAGGAUUUCCAAAUAACUAUUUAAAUCUUCGGAAAUUCGUAGAAAAUAAACUAUAGCUCGGAUCGAAAAACUUUCUACAUGAAAGUUGAUCAGAAAAACAAGACGAAUCCGACCGUGCCAUCUGUUUCCUGCCGGGACCCUCUAUGGAGGUGUGACGCCCGGAUAAUCAUGCUACAGUAACCUCACGUUAAUGGUGACACGUCACCUCUGUCAGUUUAGUUAAUCUCGGGUUACUUCAAAACCGUUUCAAAUUCAAAAUUAAAUUAAAGGCAAAUAAUAAAAGUUUUCAAACAACGAAACCAAAAUGUUCAAGGUGGGUCGGAUAAAUCAUGUGUAAAUACGAUGGAGAAACCAAACCUUGAUAAAAUGUUUAAGGGCUCUAAACUAAUUAAAACAGUAGUGAAAACAAUUAAACAAAUACCUAUUGGAUUUUAUAAAAUAUUAAAAUAUUUUAUUAUGGGUUGAGAAUUGAUGUGACAGCAGUUUGUUUAUAAAUACUACUUUAGAUACUAGUGGCGAUUUCUGUAAAAACUAAAGAUUAAAAGAAACUAGACAUAAGAUAGAAAAGAAAAUAAAUAAAAAGAAAAGGUCUAAACAAAAACAAAACAACAAAGAAAGAAAAGGAAGNNNNNNNNNNNNNNNNNNNNNNNNNNNNNNNNNNNNNNNNNNNNNNNNNNNNNNNNNNNNNNNNNNNNNNNNNNNNNNNNNNNNNNNNNNNNNNNNNNNNNNNNNNNNNNNNNNNNNNNNNNNNNNNNNNNNNNNNNNNNNNNNNNNNNNNNNNNNNNNNNNNNNNNNNNNNNNNNNNNNNNNNNNNNNNNNNNNNNNNNNNNNNNNNNNNNNNNNNNNNNNNNNNNNNNNNNNNNNNNNNNNNNNNNNNNNNNNNNNNNNNNNNNNNNNNNNNNNNNNNNNNNNNNNNNNNNNNNNNNNNNNNNNNNNNNNNNNNNNNNNNNNNNNNNNNNNNNNNNNNNNNNNNNNNNNNNNNNNNNNNNNNNNNNNNNNNNNNNNNNNNNNNNNNNNNNNNNNNNNNNNNNNNNNNNNNNNNNNNNNNNNNNNNNNNNNNNNNNNNNNNNNNNNNNNNNNNNNNNNNNNNNNNNNNNNNNNNNNNNNNNNNNNNNNNNNNNNNNNNNNNNNNNNNNNNNNNNNNNNNNNNNNNNNNNNNNNNNNNNNNNNNNNNNNNNNNNNNNNNNNNNNNNNNNNNNNNNNNNNNNNNNNNNNNNNNNNNNNNNNNNNNNNNNNNNNNNNNNNNNNNNNNNNNNNNNNNNNNNNNNNNNNNNNNNNNNNNNNNNNNNNNNNNNNNNNNNNNNNNNNNNNNNNNNNNNNNNNNNNNNNNNNNNNNNNNNNNNNNNNNNNNNNCUCGCCGCACCGCUCGUGCGUGCCCUCGCGCAUGCGCGCCCGAGCCCCGCCUCGCUCUGCCGAGGCGCUGCUCGCUCGCGUUGCGCCGCCCGCGCGUCGCCCUACUCCCAUCCCCCCCUCCGAGCCGCACUGCUGGUGCUGCUCGCCAUGGCCUCUCCCGCUGCCGCAGGCCGCCCGGUUACCGCUGCUGUGCCGCUCCCCACGCCAGGACCGCGCCUUCCCUGGCCGAGGCCGUGGCCACCGGCCUCCCCCUGCUCCGGCGCUGCGCCGGAUCUGCCCGCCCAUGGGCGUGUGCCCAUUCGGGUGGCGCCCGUCGCCUACACGCCCGACCCGAUAGGCCUAUGGGCCUUUGACAAGGGGCCCCACCGCCCCAGAACAUUUUGUUAAAAAAAAGAAAGGAAUUAAAAAUAAUAUAUAAAAUAAAUAAAAUAAAUGAAUAGAUAAUAAUAAUUUAAUUAAUUAAUUAAUUAAGGAAUUAAUUAAGUUAAUUAAUCAUAAUUACAUUAACCUAACUAACUAAUUAGUUUAAUUAAACAAUAGUUAGAUUAGUUAAACACUAAUUAGACUAAACAGUCAAUGACUAGUGGGACCCACACGUCAGUUGACCAGUCAACACCUCUGUUGACUGCUGAUGUCAUGCUGACGUCAUGCUGACGUCAGCAAAUACUGUUUUGGAUAAUGUUGAAUUUAAAUAAAUAAUUAAAAUCAGAAAAUGAUUAAAUCUUUAGAAAAUCAUAUCUUUUAAUCCGUAACUCGGAUGAAAAUACUUUCUACAUGAAAGUUGAUCAGAACAACGAGACGAAUCCGGAUACGCGGUCCGUUAGUCCGCCACACACACCUAACCUAUCGAACCCGCAACUUUUCCCCUCCGGUUCCUCUGCCCGAAAACACGAAACACCGGGAAUACUUUCCCGGGGGUUUCCCCCCCUUCACCGGUAUCACCUACUACCGCGUUAGGGCACACCUUACACCGCGUAUUGCCUUGAUAUAUUUUGUGGUGCUUUGUUUGCCCUGUAUUCAUUAUUUCUUCCCCCUCUUCUCUCCGGUAGACUACGAGACCGACGCUGCUGCUGACCAGUUCGACUACGGAGUUGACGACCCCUCUCUCUUGCCAGAGCAACCAGGCAAGCCCCCCCUUUGAUCACCAGAUAUCGCCUACUCUUCUCUAUACUGCUUGCAUUAGAGUAGUGUAGCAUGUUACUGCUUUCCGUUAAUCCUAUUCUGAUGCAUAGCCUGUCAUUGCUGCUACAGUCAUUGAUACCUUACCCGCAAUCCUAAAUGCUUAGUAUAGGAUGCUAGUGUUCCAUCAGUGACCCUACACUCUUGUCCGUCUGCCAUGCUAUACUACUGGGCUGUGAUCACUUCGGGAGGUGAUCACGGGCAUAUACUAUAUACUUUACACUGUUACAUUACUGGUGAUACUGUUUGGAGAUGGGGGCUGAAGGGGCAGGUGGCUCCAUCCAGGUAGUGGUGGGCCUGAGUUCCCAACGGCCCCCGACUGUUACUUUGUGGCGGAGCGACAGGGCAGGUUGAGACCACCUAGGAGACAGGUGGGCCUGGCCUUGUUCGGCAUUCGCGGAUACUUAACACGCUUAACGAGAUCUUGGUAUUUGAUCUGAGUCUGGCUACGAGCCUAUACGCACUAACCAUCUACGUGGGAGUAGUUAUGGGUAUCCCGACGUCGUGGUAUCAGCCGAAGCACUUCAGACGUCAGUGACGGAGCGGCGCGCGCCGAAUUGGACUGGAACGCCACUAGGCUAGGUCUUCUUUCGGCCGCGUAUGCAACGUGCAGGUGUGCUAUGGGCGAUGGGCCCAGACCCCUGUGCGCUUAGGUUUAGACCGGCGUGCUGGUCUCUCUAUUUUGCCUAGGUGGGGCUGCGACGUGUUGAUCUUUCGCGGCCGGGCAUGACCCAGGAAAGUGUGUCUGGCCAAAUGGGAUCAAGCGUGUUGGGUUAUGUGGUGCACCUCUGCAGGGAAGUUAAUCUAUUCGAAUAGCCGUGAUCUUCGGUAACAGGACGACUUGGAGUUGUACCUUGACCUUAUGACAACUAGAACCGGAUACUUAAUAAAACACAACCUUCCAAGUUCCACAGACAACCCGGUGAUCGCUUUUCUACAGGGCGACGAGGAGAGGAUCGCCGGGUAGGAUUAUGCUAUGCGAUGCUACUGGAGUUGCUAUUUGGAGAUGCUACUUGGAGGACUUCAAUCUACUCUCUUCUACAUGCUGCAAGACGGAGGCUGCCAGAAGCGUAGUCUUCGACAGGAUUAGCUAUCCCCCUCUUAUUCUGGCAUUCUGCAGUUCAGUCCACUGUUAUGGCCUCCUUACACAUAUACCCAUGCAUAUGUAGUGUAGCUCCUUGCUUGCGAGUACUUUGGAUGAGUACUCACGGUUGCUUUUCUCCCUCUUUUCCCCCUUUCCCUUCUACCUGGUUGUCGCAACCAGAUGCUGGAGUCCAGGAGCCAUACGCCACCGUCGACGACGACCCCUACUGCACCGGAGGUGCCUACUACUACGUGCUGCCCGCUGAUGACGACCUGGAGUAGUUUAGGAGGAUCCCAGGCAGGAGGCCUGCGCCUCUUUCGAUCUGUAUCCCAGUUUGUGCUAGCCUUCUUAAGGCAAACUUGUUUAACUUAUGUCUGUACUUAGAUAUUGUUGCUUCCGCUGACUCGUCUAUGAUCGAGCACUUGUAUUCGAGCCCUCGAGGCCCCUGGCUUGUAUUAUGAUGCUUGUAUGACUUGUUUUAUUUGUAGAGUUGUGUUGUGAUAUCUUCCCGUGAGUCCCUGAUCUUGAUCGUACACAUUUGCGUGCAUGAUUAGUGUACGAUUGAAUCGGGGGCGUCACAAGUUGGUAUCAGAGCCGACUGCCUGUAGGAAUCCCCCUUUCACACUCCUUGGCCGAAGUCGAGUCUAGUCAUUGCAAAACUUUUACUAACAUGGCUGUGUGCCUUACGGGCCCACAUCGCCAUUGGGUGGUAUUAGGAUCUUUUAUUCCUCGACCUAUACUCUGGGACUCUUAUUUCUCUUCUAUUCGGGUUAAAUGAUUUUUGCUAAAUCUAACAUUAGGAUCUCGUUAUCGCUUUCACCCGGAGAGCCCCUUAUUAAUGAUGAUCGUCUACGGCACGUGAAGACCCUGAAGAUACUCUCCGUUGUUAACCCGAGAACUUAUGUUCAUCGCGUUUGCAAUUCCCCUUCCACCGUCAACCCUUAUGGAUAACUACUUGCAGUUGUUAUUCUUACAUUCAUCCCCAGUUGGUCUUGUUAUUACCAGAUACCUCGAAACACUCGUCGUUGUCUCGAUAAUCCUUUGAGCUUAUCGCCUUGCUGUUCCUUGUCACCUGAAUACCCCUAUGGAUAAUUCUCGCACUUAUCGAGUAUCCGCUCAUCCCCUAGUUGUUCAUGUGUUUGACAAUGGUCUUCGAAAUACUAUUUGAUCCUCCAAAAAUCCUUAAUAGCUUAUUGCUCUGCAAUACUUGUCUGCUUGCAUUAUGGAUGCUUUCCAUAUGUCUGGCAAUAUUCGUUAGUAUCCUUAGGCAUCGUCAUUUUGAUCCUAUUGAUUCAGCAUGUGUGCGAAUGCACACAAUCAUCUAUCAACCCUUCUAAAUUAUCCUUCCGGCUCAGACAUCAUUUUUGAACAUGAUCUGGUUCUCGACCAAACUAUUUGUCGUCAAUUGUGCCUCUGGUAUAUCCAACUUAUCCAUCCUUGAUCAGAGCGACUGCUUCUGAUCCUUUGUUUUGGAAAUCAAAAUUCCUUUAUUAUCUAAGCAUCGAAUCAUUCCGAUGUUCAAUAAUAUGAUGCCCGUGCAUUCUUCUUCCUCUGGUUGAGUACCGGUGCUCACCUCAGAUCCCUUGUGGACCAUCAGCUCCUUUGUUGGAUUUUAUCUGACAACGCCCUUCAUAUUCAAUAAACUUGUGAGCCUUAUUCUCGGAUACAUAAUGCCUUUGGUAAAUUGUAUCAUCUGCUUUCUCAACCAUGCUCUGCCUUCGAGCUUGAGUUAAUUACUUCAAAAAAAAAUUCUGGUAUAGGAUUCUAAGAUGCCCCGAUGGGUUGAACCUAUGCCUUCCUUAAUAUGUGUGAACUCGAAAGUUUUCACGAGUCGUACUCUUCUGGUAUUUUGCCAGAUAAAAUUUCAAAACUACAACUUCAUUGAGCGCGAGAAGUGAAUGAAAGGUUGUGCAUUGGAGAAGUGGGAGUCGACCUUGAACUUUGCGUUCAUGCCCAUGGACACGAUGUACAUCUUCUCAUCGAAGCUUCUUUUAAAAUCAAUUAUUCCCUUGGUAUAAGUUCAUCUUAUAUCUGAGAUCUGGCCUUUUUGCAAUCGUGGUUCUGACCAUGUUCUCCUUUAAAUAUCAUGUCCUGUGCAAGUUUAAGCACUUGUCUUCUAUAGAGCAAUACCCCAGUUCAACUUCUAGUUUGAUCUGUCGUCGAGUAUUACCACCUGGUAUCUCGAGAUUAUCAUGGAACUGCAUAACUUCUUAUGAGUUCUUCAUCAAGUGCUACGUUCCCACUGAUUACAAUUUUUCAUGGGCUCUGAGUUAUUAAACACUCAAAGACACCGAUAACUAAACCGAGUCCGCUCUACGGUUCAGCAACUCUUCAGUAAGCUUCUAUAAGUACGAGUUUGUACCCGAUCACGCCAUUCCUAGCCUGUUUGGCUAUAUCAUUAUCAUGACGAUUCUAACGAUGCUACCUGGUCCUUAUUCUCGGAGCACCAAUUUUCGACGAUGAACUAACCUUACGUCGAUUUUCCUCGUCAUACCCUUUCACCUUAAACAACAAGCUUGAGUUCGAGUUUGUGUCGUACCCAUGGUUCCAAUGACUUUUUGGCUUCAUCAUUCCUUUGACUUGAUGUCGUCGCUGAUUGAUUACUUCUUCAUGAAAUCUGUCGACAAAUGUGUCGUGAUCCUCGUCAACCUUAUGAGUUCUUCCAGGAUAUCAAUUGAAUUCAUGAUGAGAAAUACCAUCCUUGUCCCUCGAUGAUUUGAAUUAUCAUCGGCAACAUUCUUGCCUUCCCCCCCCCCCAACACAAACUUGUUCACAAUUUGUGUUGUACCUUGGUUUCCUUGCUAUCCAGCAAUUGUUCUUCUUUACCUUGGAGUAUUACCGUCCUUUAUGUCAAGAAUGUUCUAAGAUUUGUUCCACCUCUUGAGGAUUCUUGACAUAGAAAUACUUCUCACCAUCACCAUUCUUUCUUGGUCCCUGUGUUAAUUCCAACAAGUGAACGGUGUUGUUUGGAUUCCUUCCUUCUAGCAACCCUAUCUCUUUGAAGUUAAUGGUCGAAAGUUCAUUCUUAGGCUAUUGAUUAUUGCAUCACCAUUCUGACAUUGGUCGUGCAACCCAACCCAUAUUUCGGGCGCACCUUUCAACCAAUGUUUAAUUGUGUAUGUUUUCCUCGAGCAUACUUCCUUAUAUCAUUUGAUCUGACAAAUGUUAUCUCCUUGUUCACUUAAUUGUGGACAUCCAUCUUUUAGGAAUCUCGGUGAAUUGCCGUUGAGUUCACCAGACACCUCCUUGUCCUCUCCUUGGGUUAAUGAUGGACUCUUGAUAACGGAAAUCACUUCAUAGUUCAUUUCCCCGAGAAUCCUACAAUGUCAUCUCGUCAAUUUGCGUUGCACCUUUUCUUCUCAGGUAUCCUAAGUCUGAGGUAUCCUGACACCAACCGGAUCUGAAUCUCGGUCAGAUAUGAUGGUUGGGACAUAUAUCCAAGAGUUGUAACAUUGAUCUCUACGUGACCCGGUAACAUGAUGUCAUGACUAGCACCCCCCCUGGGUGGAGGACCUAUCGUUAUAAUUUCUUUUGCAAGGACAACCAUUCUUCAUGGAGGAAAUUGUAAGACUUAUUCUACAAGUUAUUCCUGAUGGAUCCUUCGUGUUUCCAAAGUCUGAUCUUCACCUGAAGACCAUGUCAAUGCUAUCUCGAAGCAUGUUAAUGGUACUCCGAUUUUCAAUAGGAACAUUUGAAGCAUGAUGCUAUAUUUUAAUUAUCAAUUAUCCUAACACCGUUGUAUGAGUAAUAUCAUGAGAUUCCUCCCCCCUUACCUAAAUGGUUUUCUACAUUAUAUCCUGCCAAGGAUAUCAUGCUCUGCUUGUCCUUGGGAAGGAUAUACCCCUGAUAUAUGUGUUUAAACACGUUUUCCUUUCCAUUAUUUGUUUUAACCUUUCUUGUGAUCUAUAUAAUCUAAGCAGUAAUAAUUCACUGCGUAGGUAAACACCUCGGUGUACAACUCUGACAGUGAGACCCUGUUUCUAUUGUUGAUGGCAUUUCGGUAACCGCCGAUGGAUGAGAACUUUGCCUCUUGGCCCGCCUCGUUCCACGAGCAGGAAAGUAGUUCUCUUCGUCCCUCGCCCUUGGUAUCGAUGUUGUCGCCGACAUAAUCGACAGGCUACCCCCCCUGACAUGCCUAGCUUGCAUGAUCAUGCAAGACGUCUCCGCCCUUCCUACUUCUAACCCACAUGGUGGGCCCAUAACCCACAGGUCCACUGGAUCGAAACCUGACUCUCCUGUACGACCCUGUUUCUAGUGGUUAUUCCCCCACGCUUGGUUUCGUAUUUAAUUCAUGGGCCACCUUCCUAGUGCUCUAUUAUGGUAUCAGACGCAAUAUUUACUGUCGCUACUCUGAACCCCUUUCUCACUCUGGUUCGGACUUCGAGCAACCACCUAUCCGCUUGGAACCUCUUAUUGUACCUUCGUACCUUACUCUCGAUGUAUUUUAUAUGUUCAACUCGAGAGAUAAUCUUAUGCUCAUUCAUGGGUUAACCCCAGAUUGUUUCCCUCAUAAGCAUUAUGUCGUAGCCGAGCUGCCCCUUACCUAUUCGUAAGUACGAUGGAGAUCCUGAAGAAAGGAUGCUGACUUCAUCAUGAUGACUGGAAGAAGAGUAAUGAAGACAUCAAUGUAAUGGAUNNNNNNNNNNNNNNNNNNNNNNNNNNNNNNNNNNNNNNNNNNNNNNNNNNNNNNNNNNNNNNNNNNNNNNNNNNNNNNNNNNNNNNNNNNNNNNNNNNNNNNNNNNNNNNNNNNNNNNNNNNNNNNNNNNNNNNNNNNNNNNNNNNNNNNNNNNNNNNNNNNNNNNNNNNNNNNNNNNNNNNNNNNNNNNNNNNNNNNNNNNNNNNNNNNNNNNNNNNNNNNNNNNNNNNNNNNNNNNNNNNNNNNNNNNNNNNNNNNNNNNNNNNNNNNNNNNNNNNNNNNNNNNNNNNNNNNNNNNNNNNNNNNNNNNNNNNNNNNNNNNNNNNNNNNNNNNNNNNNNNNNNNNNNNNNNNNNNNNNNNNNNNNNNNNNNNNNNNNNNNNNNNNNNNNNNNNNNNNNNNNNNNNNNNNNNNNNNNNNNNNNNNNNNNNNNNNNNNNNNNNNNNNNNNNNNNNNNNNNNNNNNNNNNNNNNNNNNNNNNNNNNNNNNNNNNNNNNNNNNNNNNNNNNNNNNNNNNNNNNNNNNNNNNNNNNNNNNNNNNNNNNNNNNNNNNNNNNNNNNNNNNNNNNNNNNNNNNNNNNNNNNNNNNNNNNNNNNNNNNNNNNNNNNNNNNNNNNNNNNNNNNNNNNNNNNNNNNNNNNNNNNNNNNNNNNNNNNNNNNNNNNNNNNNNNNNNNNNNNNNNNNNNNNNNNNNNNNNNNNNNNNNNNNNNNNNNNNNNNNNNNNNNNNNNNNNNNNNNNNNNNNNNNNNNNNNNNNNNNNNNNNNNNNNNNNNNNNNNNNNNNNNNNNNNNNNNNNNNNNNNNNNNNNNNNNNNNNNNNNNNNNNNNNNNNNNNNNNNNNNNNNNNNNNNNNNNNNNNNNNNNNNNNNNNNNNNNNNNNNNNNNNNNNNNNNNNNNNNNNNNNNNNNNNNNNNNNNNNNNNNNNNNNNNNNNNNNNNNNNNNNNNNNNNNNNNNNNNNNNNNNNNNNGCCCGAGCCCCGCCUCGCUCUGCCGAGGCGCUGCUCGCUCGCGUUGCGCCGCCCGCGCGUCGCCCUACUCCCAUCCCCCCUCCGAGCCGCACUGCUGGUGCUGCUCGCCAUGGCCUCUCCCGCUGCCGCAGGCCGCCCGGUUACCGCUGCUGUGCCGCUCCCCACGCCAGGACCGCGCCUUCCCUGGCCGAGGCCGUGGCCACCGGCCUCCCCCUGCUCCGGCGCUGUGCCGGAUCUGCCCGCCCAUGGGCGUGUGCCCAUUCGGGUGGCGCCCGUCGCCUACACGCCCGACCCGAUAGGCCUAUGGGCCUUUGACAAGGGGCCCCACCGCCCCAGAACGUUUUGUUAAAAAAAGAAAGGAAUUAAAAAUAAUAUAUAAAAUAAAUAAAAUAAAUGAAUAGAUAAUAAUAAUUUAAUUAAUUAAUUAAUUAAGGAAUUAAUUAAGUUAAUUAAUCAUAAUUACAUUAACCUAACUAACUAAUUAGUUUAAUUAAACAAUAGUUAGAUUAGUUAAACACUAAUUAGACUAAACAGUCAAUCACUAGUGGGACCCACACGUCAGUUGACCAGUCAACACCUCUGUUGACUGCUGACGUCAUGCUGACGUCAGCAAAAACUGUUUUGGAUAAUGUUGAAUUUAAAUAAAUAAUUAAAAUUAGAAAAUGAUUAAAUCUUUAGAAAAUCAUAUCUUUUAAUCCGUAACUCGGAUGAAAAUACUUUCUACAUGAAAGUUGAUCAGAACAACGAGACGAAUCCGGAUACGCGGUCCGUUCGUCCGCCACACACCCCUAACCUAUCGAACCUGCAACUUUUCCCCUCCGGUUCCUCUGCCCGAAAACACGAAACACCGGGAAUACUUUCCCGGGGGUUUUCCCCCCCUUCACCGGUAUCACCUACUACCGCGUUAGGGCACACCGAACACCGCGUAUUGCCUUGAUAUAUUUUGUGGUGCUUUGUUUGCCCCGUAUUCAUUAUUUCUUCCCCCUCUUCUCUCCGGUAGACUACGAGACCGACGCUGCUGCUGACCAGUUCGACUACGGAGUUGACGACCCCUCUCUCUUGCCAGAGCAACCAGGCAAGCCCCCCCUUUGAUCACCAGAUAUCGCCUACUCUUCUCUAUACUGCUUGCAUUAGAGUAGUGUAGCAUGUUACUGCUUUCCGUUAAUCCUAUUCUGAUGCAUAGCCUGUCAUUGCUGCUACAGUCAUUGAUACCUUACCCACAAUCCUAAAUGCUUAGUAUAGGAUGCUAGUGUUCCAUCAGUGACCCUACACUCUUGUCCGUCUGCCAUGCUAUACUACUGGGCUGUGAUCACUUCGGGAGGUGAUCACGGGCAUAUACUAUAUACUUUACACUGUUACAUUACUGGUGAUACUGUUUGGAGAUGGGGGCUGAAGGGGCAGGUGGCUCCAUCCAGGUAGUGGUGGGCCUGAGUUCCCGACGGCCCCCGACUGUUACUUUGUGGCGGAGCGACAGGGCAGGUUGAGACCACCUAGGAGACAGGUGGGCCUGGCCUUGUUCGGCAUUCGCGGAUACUUAACACGCUUAACGAGAUCUUGGUAUUUGAUCUGAGUCUGGCUACGAGCCUAUACGCACUAACCAUCUACGUGGGAGUAGUUAUGGGUAUCCCGACGUCGUGGUAUCAGCCGAAGCACUUCAGACGUCAGUGACGGAGCGGCGCGCGCCGAAUUGGACUGGAACGCCACUAGGCUAGGUCUGCUUUCGGCCGCGUACGCAACAUGCAGGUGUGCUAUGGGCGAUGGGCCCAGACCCCUGUGCGCUUAGGUUUAGACCGGCGUGCUGGUCUCUCUGUUUUGCCUAGGUGGGGCUGCGACGUGUUGAUCUUUCGCGGCCGGGCAUGACCCAGGAAAGUGUGUCCGGCCAAAUGGGAUCAAGCGUGUUGGGUUAUGUGGUGCACCCCUGCAGGGAAGUUAAUCUAUUCGAAUAGCCGUGAUCUUCGGUAACAGGACGACUUGGAGUUGUACCUUGACCUUAUGACAACUAGAACCGGAUACUUAAUAAAACACAACCUUCCAAGUUCCACAGACAACCCGGUGAUCGCUUUUCUACAGGGCGACGAGGAGAGGAUCGCCGGGUAGGAUUAUGCUAUGCGAUGCUACUGGAGUUGCUAUUUGGAGAUGCUACUUGGAGGACUUCAAUCUACUCUCUUCUACAUGCUGCAAGACGGAGGCUGCCAGAAGCGUAGUCUUCGACAGGAUUAGCUAUCCCCCUCUUAUUCUGGCAUUCUGCAGUUCAGUCCACUGUUAUGGCCUCCUUACACAUAUACCCAUGCAUAUGUAGUGUAGCUCCUUGCUUGCGAGUACUUUGGAUGAGUACUCACGGUUGCUUUUCUCCCUCUUUUCCCCCUUUCCCUUCUACCUGGUUGUCGCAACCAGAUGCUGGAGUCCAGGAGCCAUACGCCACCGUCGACGACGACCCCUACUGCACCGGAGGUGCCUACUACUACGUGCUGCCCGCUGAUGACGACCUGGAGUAGUUUAGGAGGAUCCCAGGCAGGAGGCCUGCGCCUCUUUCGAUCUGUAUCCCAGUUUGUGCUAGCCUUCUUAAGGCAAACUUGUUUAACUUAUGUCUGUACUCAGAUAUUGUUGCUUCCGCUGACUCGUCUAUGAUCGAGCACUUGUAUUCGAGCCCUCGAGGCCCCUGGCUUGUAUUAUGAUGCUUGUAUGACUUGUUUUAUUUGUAGAGUUGUGUUGUGAUAUCUUCCCGUGAGUCCCUGAUCUUGAUCAUACACAUUUGCGUGCAUGAUUAGUGUACGAUUGAAUCGGGGGCGUCACAGGAGGUAAACCCGCAACUUUUUGCCCGUUUUCGGUAGAUGAAUAGUGCAUACGUUAGCAUAGCAUGCUUUGUGUUGCAUAUAUUAGCUGUGUAUUUAUUUGUUUCCUUCCCAUCUUCUCUCUCGGUAGAUCUCGGUAGCGACACAGUCCCCGAGACCGGCGCAGCUCCGGAGACUGAUGACACCACUGAUGACCCUGCCUUUGCCGCAGAGCAACCAGGCAAGCCCCCCCUUUGAUCAUCCCGAUAUCGCCCAUUCCAUUCUAUCAUUCUUGCAUUAGAUUUUGCUAUUGUUAUUGUUUGCUCCUAUUCUGAUGCAUAGCCUGCUUAUUGUUACCGUACCUGUUUUCCUAAACUGCUUAGUAUAGGUUGGUUAGUGAUCCAUCAGUGACCCCCCACCUUGUCCUUGUUCCCCUGCUUCAUCAUUGAAGACCCGAUCAACGGGAUCGAAGACCAGGCCCCUGCACCGCACAUCACUUUCCCCUUAGUUGCUCGACACUACUGGGUUACUAUCGAGUGCCGAGGGUGAGACUUCUACAACACUUCUGAUGUUAACCCUGUAGUGUAGUUAUUCGGUCGUGGUCAUCGAGGGUGAUUUCCUCUUUAACCACUUCCGAAAUGACUCUGUCGUGCAACCCCUCAAGUGUGGACCUCGAGGGUGGUCCCUCUUACGUUCACCUUGAUGUUUACAUCGAGUGGAAUUCACCGGGGGUGAUUCCUCGGGUUUUCCCCUUGAUGUUUGGACACACGGGUACUUGGACUUUACAACUGUUACUUGAAAAGGCGGGUCGACCCCAAGGGGUACCCGCGAGUGAUGUGGAGACGGGUUGACCUGGAGGGUGCCCGAGAGUUGAAUACGAGGCGUGGCCGGGCAUUUUUAGCCCCAUCCGCAAGUCCUCGAGACGGGGCAACGGGGCGACGGGGUCACAUCUUUCGUGAGUCUCUGCUCGUGACCGCACUACCAACACACUAACGGUUUGGAUAAUUGAUCCAAGGGUCCUCUGGCCUGAUAGCACUAACCAUCACGUGCGCAUAGUAUGGGUGUUCUGCGCCGUAUACAUCAGCCAAAGCUUAAUAUGCAUCAGUGACUGAGCGGCGCGCGCCGGGUUGGACUGGUAAGCACCUGCCUUUUUUAAGGAGGUAGCUAGGUCUGCUCACCGUCCGCCCACGCAACGUGCAGGAGUUCCCGGGGAGAUGGCCCAUGACCCCUGGGGGCAUAGGUUUAGUCCGGCGUGCUGACCUCUUUGUUAAGUCUAGGUCGGGUUGCGGCGUAUUGUUUGGCCGGGGUCGGGCAUGACCCAGGAAAGUGUGUCCGGCCGGAGUUAAUCGAGCAUGGUGGGCAAGUUGGUGCACCCCUGCAGGGAAGAAAACAUCUAUCGAUAGCCUGUCUUACGGUAACGGACACUUGGAGUUGUAUCCCGAUCAAUACAACUAGAACUAGAUACUUGAGAUGAGACUUGGAUAAGAGAUGAUAACUGGAUAGUAUGGCUCUGGGAUUGCUUUCUCGCAGGGAGUCGAGAAAGGAUCUCUGGCCGAGGUAGAUAACACUACUACUAUGUUACUUUAUGCUACUCUACUCCCUCCUGUUGCUGCAAGAUGGUGGUUUCCAUAAGAUGCUAGUCUUCGAUAGGACUAGGCCUUCUCUCUAUUCUGGCAUUUCUUCAGCCCAGUCCACAUAUACAACCUUCCUUUGAUAAUGUUGCAUAUGUAGUGUAGAUCCUUGCUUGCGAGUACUUUGGAUGAGUACUCACGGUUGCUUUGCUCCCCCUUUCCCCCCUUUCUUUUUCUUUCCGGUUGAUGCAACCAGAUGUCGGAGCCCAGGAGCCAGAUGCCACUGCCGAUGCCUACUACUACGUGGAGACCGUUGACGACCAGGAGUAGUUAGGAGGCUCCUAGGCAGGAGGCCUUGCCUUUUCGAUCGUAGAUGCUUUUGUGCUAGCCUUCUUAAGGCAAACUUGUCUAACUUAUGUCUGUACUCAGAUAUUGUUGCUUCCCCUGACUCGUUGUAUUCGAGCCCUCGAGGCCCCUGGCUUGUAAUAUAAAGCUUGUAUUAUUUGAAUUUGUGUCUAGAGUUGUGUUGUGAUAUCUUCCAGUGAGUCCCUGAUCUUGAUCAUACACAUUUGCGUGUAUGAUUAGUGUACGACUGAAUCGGGGGCGUCACAAGUUGGUAUCAGAGCUGACUGCCUGUAGGUAGCCCCCUUUCCAACUCCUUGGCCGAAGUUGAGUCUAGUCACUGAAAAACUUUUACUAACAUUGGUUGUGUGUCUUACGGGCCCACGUUGCCAUUGGGCAGUAUUAUGAUCUUUUACUCCUCGUCUAUACUCUAGGAUUCUGAUCUAUCUUCUAUUUGGGUUAAACAUUUUACUAACUCUGACAUUAGGUUCUUUUAACCACUUCCUCCCGUAGAGCCUCGACAUUAGCGAUGAUCGCUUGCUUCACCAGAAGAUUCUACGGAUACUCCUCGAUGUUUCCCGAGACCCUGUUCCCACUGCUUUGCAGUCCUAACCACCGAUAAGUCCCCACGGAUACCAUCCUUGCCGUUUGUACCUUCAUCCCAGUUGCUCUUGUUGUUACAAGUUACCCCUAACACUCUCCGUUGUUCCGAGAAUCCUUUGUGUCUUAUGCUUUGCAGCUUCUUUUUGCACUAUGGAUAACUCACUUACCCGGGGUCCGUUCCUCCCCAGUUGUUCACAUGCUUUCCAAAAUACUUUGAAAUGCUAUCUGAUAUCCCCAAAAUCCUCCGUGGCCUUUUACUUUUGAUUCCCCUCGCCUGCUUGUGUUAUGGUUAAUUCCAUAUGUCUAGCGAUAUUUAUUAAAAUCCUUUGUGAUUGUCACUCUGUUCCUACGGAUUCAACGUAUGUGCGACUACUCACAAUCAUCAAUUGAUCCAUAGGAAUUUACUUUCCGGCUCAGACAUCAUUCCGGAUAUGAGCUGGUUCUUGCCCAAUCAAGAUUCGAUCGGUGUGCCUCUAAGUCUGUUCAACCUAUCCAUCUUCGAUCGGAGCAUCUGAUCUGAUACACCAAUCUAGAAAUCCAAUUUCUUUGUAUUUAAGCAUCGAAUUAUUCAGAUGUUUCCAUAAACCGAUGCCCUUGCAUUUCUUCUUCUUCUGGUUGGAUGCUAAUACUCACAUCAACUCCGUCGUGAAUCGCCAGAUCCAUUGUUGGAUUGUAUCCGACAGUGUCCAUCGCAUUCAAAAACCUCGAGAGUUCUUCCCCUUAUACAUGAUGCCUUUGGCAAAUUGUAUCCUCUCCUUACAUUCGAGUUUGUGUUAUUUACUCCUGAAGACUGCGGUGUAGGUUCCUAAGAUGUCCCGGUGGGUUGAACCUAUGCUUUUCCUAAUCCAUGUGAACUCAAAAGUUAUGCGAGUCAUACUCUUCUGGUGCUUCACCAGAUAAAUCUUUAACACUACAACUUCAUCAAAAGCGAGAAGUGAAUGAAAGGUUAUGCAUUGAAGAAGUGGGAGUCGACCUUGAACUUAGUGUUCAUGCCCAUGGACCCGAUGUGAAACUUAUCAUGGAAGCUUCUUAUGAUAAUAAUAAUCCCCUUGUUAUAAGUUCAUCUGGUAUCUAUGUUUGGUCCUUUGCAACCAUGGUUCUGACCAUGAUUGUUCCCCUUUGAUUCCAUUUCUCGGACUAGUUAAAGUACUUGUCUUCUGCAGAUGAAUACACAUGUCCAAACUCUAUUAUGCCCUAUCUAUGAGUAUUACCCUCUAUUAUCUCGAGGAUAUCAUGCAUUGCACUACAUCUAAUGAACUUUUGAUGAAGUACUACCUUACCCUGUCUUAGUCACUUCAUGGGUUCUGGGUUGUCUUCAACCGAGACCACCGAACAAUGAAUCUAUUCUGCUCAGUGAUUCAGCACUCCUAGUACUUUGUUGCUAGGGAGUUGGAUACUCCAUCACAUCAUUCCUAGCCUGAUCGGCUAUAUUUUUAUCGUGUCAACUUUUAACUAUGCUACCUGGUCCUUAUGCCCGGAGCAACUUCCGACGACGAGCUAAGCUUACAUCGAUCUUUCUUGUCAUAUCAUUUCACCUUGAACAGCAAGUUUGAUUUUGACUUUGUGUCGUACUCAUGGUUCCAAUAGCCUUUCGCUUCGUCCUUCCUGUUACUUGAUGGCAUCUUCAUAGAGCCUCUCGACAAAGGCGUCUUGAUCAGCAUCAACAUUUUGACUUCUGUUGAAAUGGCAAUUGAAUUCAUGGUGAGAAAUACCAUCCUUGACUGUCGGUGUCAAGACCGGCGGAUCUUGGGUAGGGGUCCCGAACUAUGCGUCUAGGCGGAUGGUAACAGGAGACAAGGGACACGAUGUUUUUACCCAGGUUCGGGCCCUCUCGAUGGAGGUAAAACCCUACUCCUGCUUGAUUGAUAUUGAUGAUAUGGGUAGUACAAGAGUAGAUCUACCAUGAGAUCAGAGAGGCUAAACCCUAGAAGCUAGCCUAUGGUAUGAUUGUUGUUCGUCCUAUGGACUAAGACCCUCUGGUUUAUAUAGGCACCGAAGAGGGUUAGGGUUACACAGAGUCAGUUACAAUGGUAGGAGAUCUACAUAUCCGUAUCGCCAAGCUUGCCUUCCACGCCAAGGAAAGUCCCAUCCGGACACGGGACGAAGUCUUCAAUCUUGUAUCUUCAUAGUCCAGGAGUCCGGCCAACGGUGAUAGUUCGGUUAUCCGGACACCCCCUAAUCCAGGACUCCCUCAGUAGCCCCCGAACCAGGCUUCAAUGGUGAUGAGUCCGGCGCAUAGACAGUCUUUGGCAUUGCAAGGCAGGUUCUUCUCCAAAUCAUGUGUACCUGUUGAAUAGGGUCCGACUUCUUGUAAAUAUUGCGCUCCUCGGCUUCUACGCCCCAUAAUGGCUAUCUUCCACAUGUCGAACGAAUGCGAAUAGCCGGGGUAUUUUUACAUUUAUCCCCCUAGCUGCGCAAAUGAGCUGCCUAUAAAAGAGACGAGGAUCUAGAUCCGAAUCACACCAUUCUCCCUCGCGAGUAUUCAUCAGAGCGCAUCUGACAGAAAUCCAUUCCAUCACUAACGGUCGACGCGACUCCUCCUCUCGCCCUCCCAGCCCUCAACCUGGAGAUUGGGAGAGAUGCUCCGUCCCGCACAGUGAGCUAGCAGCGCUCCAAACCAAGGGAUUUCUUCCCCCAGCCUUCGUGGUUCCGGUUCGAGCCGGACUCGCCACCUAUAAGGGCGGAAAGCAAGCAGAGAGCGUCCCCAGCCCCUCCAAAGGAGAGCGGGUAUGCUUUGUCUCUUAUUUGAUAAGAGGGCUCGGAUUUCCAAUUCAUCCGUUUCUCUGGGGGCUCCUAGAGUUCUACGGCCUAUAGUUGCACAACCUUACGCCUGCCUCCAUUUUGCAUAUUGCGGGCUUCGUGGCCCUUUGCGAGCUGUUUUUGGGCAUCGACGCUCAUUUUGCGCUAUGGAAGAAGCUGUUCUGCCUUGUGCCCCGUUCUCAAGAGGGGUCAAUAUAUCAAGUGGGCGGAGCCGAACUAUGGCGCAUCGCCGGGACCGGAUAUCUAUCCGGAACCCCGAAGAAGGCGUCCGAAGACUGGCCUUCGGCAUGGUUUUAUAUAGAAGAUGUCCCCCUGCCAGACCCUGUUCGGGUCGGCCUCCCUGAGUUUAGUAACGCUCCUUUGAAGAAACGCCUAAGCUGGUGUCCACGGAGCACUCAGAGGGAAAACGACAGGGACGUCAUUUACCUGAUGAGCCGGAUAAGGUUGUUAGCUCAUUCUGGACUGACCAUGAUCGGGGUCAUGGCCACAUGCAUUAUGCGGGGGGUGCAGCCGCUCCAGUAUAGAGGCCACCCCAUGUGGGAUUUCAACGGGAAGGAUGAUGCCACCCGCUGUGGCCGUAAGGGGCCGGGACCGGUCGCCGAUCUGAUGAAGAUCUUGUCCGCAUUGUACAAGGGAGAAGAGGAGGAAUUCCUCCGCAUCAAUCCACAGGGCGGAUUUUCUAUGAACAAUCCUCCAAGCUGGGUAAGCGGACAUUUAUUUUUGCCUAUCCGAUCCGUAUUCCCAUAGUCAAGUAUCCCAUUUUGUGAUUUUGGCGCAGGAACUGCGCCGGGCCGUAAAGGAUAUAAACAGCCCGCCUCCACAACCCGAGGAUCCGGAACGGUUCCUCGAUCCGACCUCCCAAGAGGAUCCGGACAUAUCGGUGGAGCUGAUCGACGGGUUUUCCACCAACUGAGCAUCGAUAAUGCCUUGGUCGCCAUUACGGCCAAUUACCCCGGAAUACUUCCCGCCUCGCAGGUAACUAAGACCGAAGUCCCAAUACUUUGAAAAUGACCCGUCUGUGCAUGUUUUUAAUCACCGUAUACCAAUGGUGUUUCGCAGGGGAAGUCCUUGAGGCGGAAGGCCGAGCCUGCGAUGGCCGGCCAACAAGGGACAGCAAGGCCCAAUAGGCCAAAAAGAAGUGCAGUCCAGAUUGAAAUGCCGAUGCAACGGUAUGGCGUGUCAUCUUGCUCCCAGGUUUUAGUCUAGGGGCAUACUAAUGAUCAUGCUUUUUCAGGACGAAGAGCGCUCGCCGGACUAUAUCCGGAGAGGUUGCCAAUCAAUCCUCCGCUCGCCAGGCUCCAACGCCAGGUCCAGAGGCGGAGGCGAACACGAGGCGUGCGUCGGAUGCUCCUCCGACAGAGGAUGCCGACAGGUUAUCUGCCACCAAUUCUGAGGUGGAGAGUGCAAUGAAUCACAGGCGUCGCCGGACAGUUCUUCGUCACGCAUGUUUUUUCCCAGAGGCAUUGGAUGCCUUCAAUUCCAGAGAUGUGCACCUCCGUGCCGCUCAAAAUGGUCUAGCCAGAGCCACGGAGCAGUAUGUAAAAGACAUACGGGUGAGAAAAUUUGACAGUUAUAUAUGCCAGUAACCCCCGAGACUUAAAAUAGUUAGAAUAACUGAUUUAAGGAUCAUUUAUUGUGCACGAUCUUAUAGAAAAGAAUACCCAACUGUCCCAGGAGCUGGAGGAGUGCAAAGUCCAAAUUGAGGCCGCACUAGCCGCAUCGGGGGAAGCCAAAGAGGCCCCCUCUGGUAAUAUAUGCUUCCAAAGAUAAGUGAUUUGUGAAGUGCGGCAUGUGUAUAAGUCUGACAAUAAUAUUGCAGAUGGCGCCGGGGUAGAUCUGGACAAGCAACAACUCAUGCGCCAGUUAAAGGCCGGCGAGAAUGUGCUUACAAGGGUGAGACAGGAGAAAAAUAAUCUCCAAGAUGCCAACACCCAGCUGGGUGAGGAACUAAAGGAUGUUCGUGCCCAGCUAUCUGACUCUGUUAAGGAGAAUCGGCGGCUUCGACGCGACAUUUUUAGUAAGUGCUUGAACGAACUUUGAAAAAUAGUUCGGCGAGGAAGUCGACUAACAGAGUUAUGUCUGUAGGUAUGCUCACAGGCCGUCCUGCAGAGGAAAUGCCUGGUUCUACGGGUGACCUUCUUCCUGAGCUCUUGCAACGGUACGAACGAGUUCGGCAGGUGAUGAAAGGCGUCGCCCAGGCCUUGUGGCCAUAUGUCUCCCUGCCGGAAGGCCUUGGAGAGAUUGCAGAGAUGCUUCAGGGAGCGCGGCAGCGCUUCCGCUUAUGGAAGAUAUCGGCCUGCCAUCAAGGCGCCAGGGAGGCCUGGGCCAUGAUGAAGACGCGGUACACAAAGGCUGACCCAAACCACAUGGCCGAAGUCGGACCUGCGGGGCCCGAUGGGAAGGAGAUCCCUGUGAGCUUGGUGUAUGACCAAGUAGAAUUGGCCGCAAAGUAUUCCCAACGGGACUGUAAACUAGACAGCCUGCUGGAUGGCAUUGAAGAGGAAUAUGCCCAGUCAAGUUGACUAUGUAAUUUAAGAUGACAUGUAAAAUGCCUUCUAGCCGGAUUGUAGAUCGUUUGUCAUAGCAGACCUUUUCACUUCAACCUCGGGACCCGAUAGUCUGGAGUGUGUCCGAAUACCCUCGCGGUUAUAUAAGAACCGGGGCAUGCGUGGAGACAAGGCGUAGGGGUCAUUAGUGUUGUAUCAGACAAGUGCCCAACUAGUUAUGCUAUAUUGCAUGGUUAGUAAGAAACAUCUUCCAGGGAGAAUAGUUCCGUUAGGGGUUCCUUUCCCCAGGGGCAUGCCCUAAAGUGCAUGUCCGGACUGCGAAAAAAGCAGAAAAACAUCUGGGGGCAGAUAAAUAAAUAGAUAAGAGGUCGUCUUUUAGUUCACCGACCGAAUAUUCCCUUAAGAACGCUAGCUUUCGGCUUCACCAGUCUGAGGUGCACAUCCGGCUGACCCGACAGUAACAAUCGCAGAGGUGCUCCCUUUACCACCUAGCCGAACAAUCGGGAACGUAGGGGUAAGCACAGGAGCCAGGCAACCCAGCUUGGCCAAAACUUAAGUCAUAUCGAUGCAUAUAAUGGUGAAUAAAAGGUACAUGCGGAAGUGUGACACAUGUGUUGGGCAUGAAGCCCGUAUAAAUAAGCUUCUGUUAAAGAAGCCCCCAGGUAUAAUGAGCGCGGAUAGCGCUUCAAGUGUGUGCGAACAAUGCGCGAACAAGCUUUCAAAGGCUAUAAUAGAAAAGGAGAGAGAAGGAGAGAAACAGAAGACAACUAAUAUGUAAAAUAUAGACGGAGGAAGGAGACGAACUCAGAAUCCGGCGCUAGGCGUAGAAUCUUCGGAGACGGGCUGCAUUCCAUGGGUUUGGCUCGAGUCGGUUAUCCGAUGCAUCUCACCGACGGUACGCUCCACCAGUCAGGACUUGGUCGAUGAUAAAGGGACCUUCCCAUUUGGGCUUUAGUUUGUCCUUUUUCUUGUCCGGCAGGCGUAGAACUAACUCGCCAACGUUGUAAGUUUUGGCCCAUACUUCUUUGCUUUGAUAUCUUCGAGCUUGCUGUUGAUAGAAUGCGGAACGGGCUUUUGCCACGUCACGCUCCUCCUCCAAUGUGUCCAAACUGUCCUGCCGAUCGAGCUCGGCUUCUCUUUCUUCGUACAUGCGCAUGCGAGGUGAGUCAUGAAUUAUGUCGCAGGGCAGAACUGCCUCUGCGCCGUAUACCAUAAAGAAUGGUGUAAAUCCGGUGGUGCGAUUCGGAGUGGUCCGGAGCCCCCAGAGUACAGAGUCGAGCUCCUCUACCCAGUGCAUGUUAGAUUCCUUGAGGGACCGCACUAGUCUGGGUUUGAUGCCGCUCAUGAUUAGACCAUUUGCUCGCUCUACUUGACCGUUAGUUUGAGGGUGAUAGACUGAAGCAUAGUCGAGCUUGAUGCCCAUGUUUUUGCACCAGAGUUUGACCUCGUCGGCCGUAAAGUUCGUGCCGUUAUCAGUGAUGAUGCUAUGGGGGACGCCGUAACGGUGUACGACCCCUGAUAUGAAGUCUAUCACCGGUCCGGAUUCGACCAUCUUAACAGGUUUGGCCUCUAUCCAUUUGGUGAAUUUAUCCACCAUGACCAGUAGGUAUUUUUGCUUGUGGGUUCCUCCUUUAAGGUGUCCAACCAUGUCAAGCCCCCAGACCGCGAAGGGCCAUGUUAUGGGUAUAGUUUUGAGGGCGGUGGGUGGCAUGUGGCUUUGAUUAGCAAAGAGUUGGCAACCGACGCAUCGUUGGACUAAGUCCUGAGCAUCUGCCCGGGCCGUUGGCCAAUAAAAUCCUGUGCGGAAGGCCUUGCCUACAAGGGCCCGGGCUGCGGCGUGGUGCCCGCUGAGUCCGGCAUGAAUUUCAGCCAGCAGAUUCCGCCCUUCAUCUUCGGAGAUACACCUUUGAAGGACUCCGGUUGUGCUUUUCUUGUAAAGCUCUCCCUCAUGAACCUUAUAGGCUUUAGAUCGCCGCACUAUGCAGCGGGCCUCGUUUUGGUCCUCCGGAAGUUCCUGCCUGGUUAUGUAGGCUAGGAAUGGUUCCGUUCACGGGGCAAUGACUGCCAUUAUUAUGUGGGCUGAAGAUGUUACUUCAUUGGCAGAACCACCAAUUUUGUCAGAAUGUUUGGUGUCGGGCAAUGCGGUUGGGUCCGGGUUGUUAUUUCCGGAUUCCCCCUCCCAUAGUAUGGAUGGCUUGAACAUUCUCUCUAGGAAGAUGUUGGGAGGAACGGCAUCACGCUUUGCGCCAAUGCGCGCCAAUACGUCUGCUGCCUGGUUGUUAUCCCGGGCUAUAUGGUGAAAUUCGAGCCCUUCAAACCGAGCUGACAUUUUUAGGACAACAUUGUGAUAAGCUACCAUUUUCGGAUCCUUGGCAUCGAAGUCUCCAUUUAUUUGGGAUAUCGCGAGGUUCGAAUCCCCGCACACCUCUAGGCGUUGAAUGCCCAUGGAGACUGCCAUCCGGAGGCCGUGUAGAAGGGCCUCGUAUUCGGCUACGUUGUUGGAGUCCGUAUACAUUAUCUGGAGUACGUAUUGAACCGUAUCUCCGGUUGGGGACGUCAAAACGACGCCAGCCGCCAGACCAGCCAACAUUUUGGAGCCGUCGAAGUGCAUUAUCCAGUUGGAAUAUGCGUCGUACUCUUUAGGGAGUUCGGCUUCAGUCCAUUCGGCGACGAAGUCGGCAAAAACUUGCGACUUAAUAGCUCGCCAUGGCUUAUAGGUUAUGUCGAACGGGAGGAGCUCAAUGGCCCAUUUGGCAAUCUGGCCCGUCGCGUCGCGGUUGUUUAUAAUGUCGUUAAGAGGUACUUCGGAGGCUACUGUUAUCGAACACUCUUGAAAGUAGUGUCGCAGCUUCCGGGAUGCCAUGAACACCGCGUACGCUAUCUUUUGAUAAUGUGGGUACCGUGACUUGCAUGGAUUUAGGACAGUGGACACAUAGUAAACUGGUUUUUGUAGGGGAAACCCGUGUCCGUCCGUUUCUAGUUCGACAACGAGCACUGCGCUCACAACUUGAUGAGUUGACGCUAUAUAUAAUAGCAUUGGUUCGCCCAUGUUGGGCGCGGCCAGGACCGGGUUUGUUGCCAAUAUGGCUUUUAUUUCUUCGAGUCCGGCCGUGGCGGCAUCCGUCCACUAGAAGUGUUCGGUGCUUCGGAGGAGGUGAUAAAGAGGUAAUGCAUUUUCUCCUAAACGGGAGAUAAAGCGGCUCAGAGCCGCCACACAUCCCGUCAAUUUUUGUAUUUGUUUGAGGUCCUUUGGGAUAUCCAAUUGUGAUAGAGCUCGGAUCUUGCCUGGGUUUGCUUCAAUUCCUCUACCAGAUACAAGCCCAAGAGCUUUUCGGCUGGUACGCCGAAAAUGCAUUUUUCCGGGUUAAGCUUAAUGUCAUAUGUUCGGAGAUUAUCGAACGUGAGCCUCAGAUCGUCUACUAGAGUUUCGUCGUGCUUGGUUUUGAUGACCACAUCGUCCACGUAUGCCUCCACUAUUUUGCCGAUCUAGUUUGCCACACAUGUCUGAAUCAUGCGCUGAUAUGUUGCGCCGGUGUUUUUGAGCCCAAAGGGCAUUGUGUUGAAGCAGAAUGGGUCGUAUGGGGUGAUGAAUGCAGUUGCGGCCUGGUCGGGCUCUGCCAUCGUAAUUUGGUGGUAGCCUGAGUAUGCGUCGAGGAAACACAAUGAGUCGUGUCCUGCGGUAGCGUCGAUAAUUUGAUCGAUGCGGGGGAGUGGGAAGGGAUCCUUUGGGAAAGCCUUGUUGAGGUCCUUAAAAUCGACACAUAGGCGCCAGGAUUUGUCCUUCUUUGGUACCAUCACCAGGUUUGCUAGCCAGUCUGGAUGUUUUAUAUCUUUGAUGAAUCCGUCCUCCAAUAAUUUGGCUAGCCCCUCUCCCAUGGCAUGUCUCUUGGUUUCAGAGAAACGUCGAAGAGCCUGUUUGACUGGCUUGAAUCCUUUUAGGAUGUUUAGGCUGUGCUCGGCCAGCCGGCGUGGGAUUCCUGGCAUGUCUGAAGGGUGCCAGGCAAAAAUGUCCCAAUUUUCGCGUAGGAAUUCUCGUAGUGUGGCAUCUACAUCAGGGUUUAAUUGUGCCCCAAUGGAGGCUGUUUUUGUAGGGUCCAUUGGAUGGACUUGGAAUUUGACUAUUUCGUCCGCUGGUUUAAAGGAGGUGGACUUGGAUCUCUUAUCGAGUAUCACGUCGUCCCUAUUCACCGUGGAGCGCAGCGCAGUGAGUUCCUCGAUCGCUAGGGCUUCGGAUAGUGCCUCAAGGGCUAGUGCGGUUGUCUUGUUUUCGGCGCGGAGUGCUAUGUCCGGGUCACUAGCGAGAGUGAUGAUUCCAUUGGGCCCGGGCAUUUUGAGCUUCAUGUACCCGUAAUGGGGUAUAGCUUGAAAAAUUGUGAAUGCUUCUCGCCCUAAUAGAGCAUGAUAUCCGCUGCUGAAUGGGGCCACUUGGAACGUGACCUCCUCGGACCUGUAAUUAUCCCGUGUGCCGAACACCACAUCCAGUGUGAUUUUUCCUGUGUAGCAUGCUUCCCGACUGGGGAUUAUUCCUCUAAAGGUUGUGCUGCUUCGCUCAAUGCGGCUCCAGUCUAUUUCCAUUUUUCGGAGGGUUUCCUCGUAAAUGAGGUUCAAUCCGCUGCCACCGUCCAUGAGUACCUUGGUAAGGCGAAAGCCGUCCACUAUUGGACUGAGGACCAAUGCGGCUGGUGCUCGGGCUAUUCGGAAUUUAGGUUCGUCACUGGCAUUAAAGGUAAUGGCCGUGUCACUCCAUGGGUUUAUUGUUGCUACUUGGUAGACUUCGGCAAGGCUGCGGAGUGUUCGUUUCCGCAUAUUAUUUGAUGUGAAAGUCUCAAAGACUGUUAAUACCGUACUGGUAUCCUUGGGCUGGUGCUCUGGAGUUAGAAGCUCUUCGCCACUUUUGGCCACCUGCCGUAGUAUCCAACAUGCUCUAAGGCUAUGAGUUGGAGUGGCGCCCUCUGUACUAUGAAUUUUGCAGGGUCCAUUGAGCCAUCCUUCCAAUACGGUUCCAUGCCCUAUAGAGGGUUUUUGCUUUUUGGUUUUUAACCCAGGUGCCUGGCGAUGAUGCACCCUUUUAUUUCAGACUGGGAUUGUAUUCAGGGCCGGAUUGUCCCAAAAAUUGAUUUCGGUUUUCUAGGCGCUUUCCAUCGCACAGUACUUUCGUACUAUGGACGCCAAGUCAGCGAAGCGUGUGAUUUCACGACGACUUACGGCGUUGAGGAUUCCCUUGUCCAUGCAAUUAGUGCAGAAGAAUGAAAUUGCGUCCUCCUCACAACAAUCCUUUAUCCUGUUUAUGACCAGGAGGAAUCUCGCCCAGUAAUGGUGUACUGUUUCUGCGGGCUCUUGCCGGAUUUGUGAUAGAUCGCUUGUGUUUGGGUGGGCGGGUGGAAUUAAAUUCGGAACCCCGUCCAAUAUAAAACUCAGGGGCCAAGAAGUUUCCGAACUUGGAAGCUUGGGUUCUUGGAUGUCGUCCAAUGAAUCUAGCCCGCUGCCUGACUUUAGGUUCAGGCCUUGAGUGACGUCCUCCCCUCCGCGGGAAUCCGGCAUGGAGGGAUCGGGAAUCUGGACAUAGCUAGUCCUUGAGAUAGAAGAGUCGCCGCAUUGUUCCUCUGCCACAACAAUGCAGUGGGUAACCUGGGGAGAGUUAAUCUCUCUCAGAUCGGGUUUAAGCCCAAUCUGAUCGUAGUCUGUAGCGACUCCCAGGGCGGCGAUGCGAUCCAAGAGCUCGUUUAAGGAAGAGAGCUCCAUCGGAUCUAACUGCUCGGCGAGUUCCUAGUUAACGUGAAGGUUGCUUUCGAUGACCCGAGAAGUCAUCGUCGGUGCGGUGGCCGGACAGGCGGUCAUAAGGAAACCACCUAGCCGGAGAGUUUGGCUGAUAGCCAAAGCUCCUUUAGCAACAAGUGCCGUUUUUAAAGACGGGAUGAGGCAUCCUUCCUGAUGGCGACGGCACAGAGGAACUCUCAAUGAAAGCACCAAUGUCGGUGUCAAAACGGGCGGAUCUUGGGUAGGGGGUCCCGAAUUGUGCGUCUAGGCGGAUGGUAACAGGAGACAAGGGACAUGAUGUUUUUACCCAGGUUCGGGCCCUCUCGAUGGAGGUAAAACCCUACUUCUGCUUGAUUGAUAUUGAUGAUAUGGGUAGUACAAGAGUAGAUCUACCACGAGAUCAGAGAGGCUAAACCCUAUAAGCUAGCCUAUGGUAUGAUUGUUGUUCGUCCUACGGACUAAAACCCUUCGGUUUAUAUAGGCAUCAAAGAGGGUUAGGGUUACACAGAGUCGGUUACAAUGGUAGGAGAUCUACAUAUCCGUAUCGCCAAGCUUGCCUUCCACGCCAAGGAAAGUCCCAUCCGGACACGGGACGAAGUCUUCAAUCUUGUAUCUUCAUAGUCCAGGAGUCCGGCCAAUGGUGAUAGCUUGGCUAUCCGGACACCCCCUAAUCCAGGACUCCCUCAUUGACCUUCAAUGAUUUGAGUUAUCAUUGACAACCCCCCUUGUCUUCUUUCCAACACAUGUUUGGUCAUGUAUUGGUUAUACCUUGGACUACUUGUUAUUCCUGCAAUUGUUCUUUGAGUAUUUCUUGUGAUCUUCAACUCCAACCCCUACUUGGAACACCAUGUCAAUGCUACCUCAAAGCAUGGCUGUGGUAUUCCAAGUAUCAACACGAACAUUGGAAGCACAUUGUCGAAUGUUUCUUGAUCUAUUAUCCAAACACUGUUGUAUGUGUAAUAUCAAGAUUCUUCCCUCACCCCCUUUAUCUAAAUGCUUUUGAACUUGCUGUCUUGUCAUGGAUAUCAUACUCUGCUUGUCCUUGGGAAGGAUAUACUCCUGAUAAUUGUGUUUAAACACACUUUCCUUUCCAAUGUUCUGAUUAAUAUAAUGAUCACCUUUUCUUUCCAUUGUUUUGUUUAACCUUUCUUGUGGUUUGUGAGAUCUAAGCAGCAAUAGUUCCCUACUUAUGGAAACACCUCGGUGUACAACUCUGUCAGUAAGACCCUGCUACUAUUGUUGAUGAUGUUCCGAACCACCAACGGACGAGAACUUUGCCUAUUGGUCCGCCUCGUCUUACGAGCAGGAAAAUAGUUCUCUUCGUCCCUCGCCCUUGGUACCAACGUUGUUGGCAACAUAACUGACAGUCUAUCAUCUGACAUGCCUCGCUAUGGCCCCCCUUUCUACUUUUAACCCACAUGGUGGGCCCAUAACCCACAGGUCCUAGGAUCAGAACCUUACUCUCCUGUAUAUCUUUGAUUCCAAAAUAUUCUUGCAUUUGGCUUCGUAUCAUGUCACGAGCCACCUUUUGAGAGAUGAUCUAUUCCAAUGCUCUGAACCCUUUGUCACACUCUGUUCAGGUAUCAAUCAUUUGUCCAUUUGCUUGAAACUUCCUAUUGUACCUUCAUACUUUGCUCUCGAUGUUUUAUUAAGUUUCAACUCAAGAGAUACUUCUGCCUCAUUCCCUGAAUUGUUCACCAGAUAAUUAACCCUAUAAGGGUCAGUUCUCUUGAAGUUACUCUUUACAUCCCCACUUAAAUCUCGGGACGAGAUUUCUUGUAGUGGAGGAGAUUUGUAACACCCCCAGUGUCAUGCUACAAUAAUCCCCAGUUAAUGGUGCCAUGUCAUCAUGUUACUGUUGCUAAUAUUCACUUGUUCCAAAUCAUGGUUCAAAUUCAAAUCCAAUGUAAAGUCAAAAAUUCAUAUUUGUCAGAGAUGAAAUCUAAAAUGUUCAUCUUGUGCCAAAUAAUCCCGUAACUAAUAUUGGUAGUGAAACAACAUUUUUACAAAGUGUUUGAGUGCACUAAACUAUCUAAAAUAGUGCUUAUAACAUUUGUUUAAAUGCUUUUUAAAUAGUAAACAAAUAUAAACCUAUUUUAUUAAAGGGCCAAGUCAUUUGUGGUAGUUAAAUUAAUAAUACUAAUUUAGGGGCUAGUGUUGUAUUUUACAAAAAUAAUAAAAUAAAACAAAUAGGGAAAAUACAAACUUAAAAAAAAAGCACACAACCACCUGCCGCUGGACAUAGGCCACCCAACCGAACCCCUCCCUUUGUCGUCUACCCCGCUACAGGAAGACGACCCGAGCCGAGUCCCAGCCGGAUUGCCUCGCCGGCGAACUCCCCCCGAUGGAUAAGAUCGCCACGGCCCUCGCCUCCUCGAUCCCCUCUCCCACUCGGCCCCCACUCGUUUUCUCUCUCACCCCUCAUCUAACCACCGCUCCCCUCCUCCAGAUCCGCCCGCUGCUGACCAUGCUACUGCGAUGGCCGUCAUCGCCUCUGCUCGUCCGCGUGGACACCAUCCUCGAGUCGCCUCCGCAGCGUGUCCAGGAGGUUUUCUAUCGUUCGCCUCAUCGUCUUCACCCACUGGAUCCAGCAGGGAGCCACCACAACAUCGACAUCGACCUCGUCUUCAUCUUCGGCCUCCGGAGCUCCGCCGCGUCAAUCCACUGCACUGCCGCUCCUAAGCUUUCGCCGGGCCGCUGUGUGCCUUCGCG
RNAcentral lists this long non-coding RNA (46258 nucleotides) under Triticum aestivum (bread wheat). Its description in RNAcentral is "long non-coding RNA (TAES_LNC027350)". The record is from RNAcentral. Lineage: Eukaryota; Viridiplantae; Streptophyta; Magnoliopsida; Poales; Poaceae.